GGGAAAGUAGCAACACCUCAUUGAGCAGCAUUAGAACGCGCCCAACUAUCGUUGAAGUCUUUCCACUUCCAGGGCCGGCAACAAUCAUCAAAGGUACUGAAAUAUAGCUGCAAGCUGCCUCACGCUGCCUUUCGUUGAGAGAAAGCAAAUACUUCAAAUACUCAUCCGGCAUGUUAGGCAAUCCAUGGUUAACAGAAUCUGUUUGGUUUUCACUACUCAAAGGCGGCGCUGAUGGCACUAACGUGUUAUGACCCAAAUUAUUACUGAGGUUUUAUGCUUUAUUACUGUGAGGAAUUGUUAAUAUACCAGCUGGCAUUUAAAAGUGUAGAGGUUUUAUAAAAGGAGCCCCAGCUCCCCCAAAUGUAUCAGAUCAGAAUUUUACAAAAGAAAUCAAUAUUGGAGCUCUGCUCCUUCUUCUCUCCUUCCCUCUUCUUCCAUAGCUUUCUUGUGCCACUUACAGGUUGAUUAAGGGAAUUGAGAAUUAGAUCUUAUCAAUGGUAUCAUCCUUCUCGAAUCCUGGUUUCCCUCCUGUGCACACCCACCCACCUACGUUUUCUGCCAUGGUUGCUGCGCCCAAGGAUUCGCUUCGCGAGACCCUGGAUGCUCUAUUCGCACCCUACCUGGCUAAGAUCCGCCGUGCCCGUGAGUUGGCUCUCAGCGCUGAGGGAGACUCCACUCCAACCCUUAUGUUCGCUAUCAGUGAUGGGGGAGUUCCUGAUCCAGCCCCGAUGAUUGCCGAUGACGCUGCAGGAAUCGAUCUCGGUCAGAAAAUAAUUCCACGAGUCGCUGCAUCAACUAAUCAGAUUCUGCCGUUGCUCUCGUCAUCGCCGUUAUUGCGAGCACUAGCAAAUCCUCCUGUCAGGCCACCGUCGAACUCAAACGCUUCAUUGGCAAAUUCGCCCAGCCAGCCGCUACACUCAAAUGAUAUUGUAGCAGCCACAAUUCCAUUGCGGAAUGUUGAGAAAACCAGGCCCGUUGCGAUUGUGACCACAAUGCCGCUAUUUCCGAUUUCAGCAACCUUUAGCACUGAAUCAGCCCACGCUCACAAUCACAACCUCGUUUUGAGCACCAAGGAAGCUACAACAAUGGCGCAUGUUCUGGGUUUUCCUCUCAAGAAAGCAGGAGCUACUAAAUCUGUAGGUAUAUCUCAUACAAACACCACGAAGCGUCGACACGAGGUAUUGACAUCCUUGCUUUCCAAUUCUACAAAUCGGAAGGACAAAUGGUAUUGGGUUUUGCAGGUUAUUUUGGCAUAUUAUACUGGUGUUAUUGUGAUAAUGUAUGACGACUUCUUAACUGAUAAAUGUGGAUGGGGUAAUUGGUACCUUGUGGGACAAUUUGUGUUACACGCGCCCCUAAUUUAAAUCGUAUUUUUACUAAAUUUGAGUUUAUCUUGCUUUUAAAAUUAUUUUUGGGUUUUAAAUGGUGUGCCCAAGGCCCACCCCCUGUUUUGUCCCCCGUUCCCUUUCCCUUUCUUUUAUUUAUUUUCUUCUUUCUUCUUCUUCUUCUUCUUCUUUUCUGUUUCUUUUUCUUUCUUUUCCGUCUGUCCCUCUCGGCUCUCUCUGCGCCCUCUCUUCUCUGCACCGCAACAAGCACACGCACGCACCCAUUGCACCUGCGCGAGGAAGACCAUCAUCAUCUCGUCCUGCUCUCUCUCCCUCUCGUGUUUGCGAACCCAGAAAAUCGGAAAGGAUCUUCCGCGAGAUUUUUAUAUUUUCCGGUUAGGUAAGCCUCAAAUCCCUCUCUUUCGUCCUAGAAUCUUUUGAGAAUGGGUUCUAAUUGGUUUUAUUUCGUGAUUUUUGGAGGUUUUAGGAUGAAAACAAACUCGGGUGCAGGAACACCCAUUUCCGGCGAGGAACCCGCCACUUUCGAGUUAAUCUCCGGCCAAACCACGGCGAGUUGGCCGGCGUGCAAGGUAUCAAUCUCUUCGUCUCGUCGAUUACUACAACUUUCCUUUUUGUUUCACCCAAUUUCGUUGAGUAUUGAAGAAGUUAUACUCAUUUGAAUCUUACCCAGUUUCCGGCGAGUCCGACGGCUUUCGAGGCGUUUUCCGGUCAAACCACGGCGAAUUAGACGUCGUGUGAGGUACCAUUCUCUUCGUCUCUUCGAGGGCUACAACUUUCGUUUUUGUCUCGCUUGAUUUCGUUGAGUUUUAACAAAGUUAUAGCCAUUUAAAAUUGGGUGGUUUUCCGGCCGAAAUUCCAGCCUUCUUCUUCCUCGGGUCCGGCGACCCAUCAAACUUGGGCCCUUUGGGCCGUUUCUGUUAAGGGCUUUAAGCCCAAACCCUAAACCUUUGGGCUUUAGGACCAAACCCAAGAACCCAAACCCUAUGACCCAAACCCGGAUCCAAGCCCAGACCCGUUUGACCUGGUCCGACCCGGAUCCUGACCCGUUGACUUUGACCGGUCAACGUUGACUUUUCUAGUUGACUUUUCGGGUUUUCGUCCAAGACCUUCCUAGGCUAAUUUCGACGUCCUGGAUCCGUUUUUGAAGUUCGUUUUCCCAAAUUCAAUCGUUUGAGUAGAGUUUGACUAAAUGGAUCAUUUAUGUGCUUAGGUGAAUUUAAUGACGGCGGUUCCGUUAUUCCUAUUUGGUAUGGCGUUGCACCAACGGUGUACGGUGAGUGGACCCCUUCUAAAAUGCAUGUUUUAUAGUAGAAAUGCAUACAUAAAAAGUAUGAUUUGAUGAUUACCUUUUAUGAAACGUUUUGUGAGAUAACAUGCUUAUUGAGGCUACUUUAAAUUAUUACUAUUUUUCCUAUAACCCGUGUUCUUAUAGAAUAUCUGAUGGAUGACGAUAUGAUAUUAGAACAUGUUUAGAACACCUCUUUAUAGUAUAGAUGAUGGAUGACUUUAUACUAUGAAGUUGUUUUUCAAUAUAUAUGUUCAAUGGUUUUGUACUUACCUAGUGGUCAUUUCCGCUACGGGACGUAGGGAUAGAUUCCGGUCAUUCCCGGGCGACGGUUUGGUGUUGGCAUAGGGCCUGGAGUGUGUUUCCUCUGGCUAUUUAGCACAGGGACGGGGAGCCGGCAUGGGGCCUGAAGUGUAUUUUCCUCUGACUGUCUGCUCAGAGACGGGGAGCCGGCAUGGGGCCUGGGGGUUAUCGGACAAUUCACUAGUGAUUAUUAUAUAUAUAAAAGUUAUGAUUUGAGACACUGCACAUCAUGCUAGGUUUCGGAAAACCUAUGUUUAUCAUUAUAUAUGUGUUUUCAUAAAACUUGGGGGUUAGUACGUUGAUAACUGUUUUGUUAUAUUUAUAUCAAAUUGGUCCACUCAUGUUUGUUUUGCGCCCCCUUCAGGAUUUAGGAUCGAGGCGUACAAUCCCGGCAAUCCAGGCACUUCCGCAUCGGUAUCUUCAAGUCCUCUCGGUGUAGAACCCACUUCUGUGUUCAUUCAAUUUUUAUAUUAAUUCUUUUAAUGUUCUAGAUUAGAUGUGUGCUCUGAACACGUUCCUUAAAUGCAUAUUCUUUAUUUAUAUUUAUAAGUUUUAUCUAUCCUUUAUUUUCAGCAAUUGCACUCAAUAAAUGGCUUUCGUCGCCCUCGGGUGUCGGCCAGCACGUGACCAUCCUGAUAUCCUGAGGAUAUCGGGAUCGGGGCGUGUCAGAUUGGUAUCAGAGCGUGGUUUGUUCAGAGCAUACUUAGGAUCCUCUUCUAUUAUCGUAGAGUGUUGGUUUUGACAUCAUUUGGAUGUCCAGACUUCUAGAUUUGGUGCCAUUCGGCGCAGUCGUGCGAAUCUUCCUCUAUUUGAAUUGUCACAUUCGGGUUGAUAUACAAGAAUUUGUGUCGGGAUUGUGCCUCAUCGGUGACGUGUUUGAAUUGUUGGACGACUUUCAGCUUCAGAUUGAUACUCUACGACGUGCAUUCCCUGGGAAUGACGGGCAUAGUCGGUGUUACUUGGAAGCGACGGAUUUUAGAAAUCUCAGCUUAAGGAAGUCUGGUCAAGACCAGCUGUAAAUUCGAAAUGGCGAUGCCACUCUACAACAUGCGUUCCCUAGGAAUUGCGGGCGGAGUCGGCUUUGCAUCGAAAUCUUGGGAAGCGGAAAAAAAAUCUUGGCAGUACGAAUUGACUAAGACCAACUGGAGUUCUGAAGCGGUGUUGUACUCUGCAACAUGCGUUCCUUAGGAAUGGCGGGCAGAGUCGUAUCUCUUUAGAAAUUACUCGAAACUUUCGAAAUGCAGAUUGAAGAAGCGAGUAAGUGCUAGUGGUGACGACGGUUAGUAGGUGGUAGUUGGUGGGAGCAAAAUCAAUGUUCUCGAACUCAUUACCACUGAAGAAAUUUGGGUGAAUCUUUAUAACAGUUCUCUGUGAUUGUUUUAUCGAUUACCUUCUCGUUUAUUCCAACGACGAAGUCAAGUUCACUGACCUUUGAUCGUCAGCUUCACAUCAAAUCCCUCGAGAGUUGACUUCGUCUAGAGAUUAUACUUUUCUUGGGAAACUCCUCGGUAGCAGACGUUAUUCUCAUCAAUUUCGAAAUGGAGUUGCGAUUCUUGUUGUUGUUGUAGUUGAACUUGGAUAAUGAAGAUUCAGCCUUGUUUGGAUAAACAAAUUCCUUGAACUUCACCUGGGUUUGGUACUUGGUAGUAAACCCUAGUUCCUCAUCCGUGUACUUUUCAGUGAAGGUGAACUUAGUCCCUUGCUUGCAACCUAACUGUUCAGCCUUGUAAUUUUCAGCGUAAUGGCUUGAGACUCUAUCAUAUUCAUCAUUGUACGAAGAUCGAGCUUUACUCUGAACUUCUCUGGGCUCGUUAAGCUUUGAUUUGCUCAGAGGCAUCACUUUAAGGUAGCCAAUCGUGUCACUGCAUGCAUACACAAGCUGCUUUGUAUCUUUCUUCUUCGUUAUUCUGCUGAUUCAGAGGUUUUAUGUUUAAUUUCUGAAUUUUUAAAUGACUAUCGCGAAGUACCGUGAAUCUCGAAAUGUCUUUGGCCUCGUCAAAUCUUAUUAAUAGUUCUUGACUAUUCUUGAGAUUAGACUUGUUCCUUUUGGCUAAGAAACCAGUCGACCUUAUUGUGAUGAGUAGCCAAAUAAUCAUAAACAGUAACUUCUAUUUCUGCAUCUUCAUUUUCCUUCGUUUGUUUGUUUGUUUCUCAAUGUGAACUGGAUCAUGCCGGGACAUUACACGAAGGGUGUAAAAAAAAAAAAAAAAAAAAACGUUUGUUCUCGGCGUGGUUUCUAGUUCAAAUCCGGAUAUCUUGUACUCUAUAUUUAAUGGACUUGUUUUGAACCUUAAAUUCCUGAGUGUUCUUUUAGCCUUAUCGACAUGGUUUCUCUCUCAAUUAGUGAGAAAUUCAUGAUCGAUGGUUUCGGCGGAAGUGUGCGCCCAAUUCUUAUCGAUUUGGACAGGAAUGUUGGGAGCAUAAUCUUUUCACAAGCUUACUAGACUUACCAGAAAGAGUUCCACGUGGGUGUGAAGUUUGAGUUGUCUUUUGGUAAGAGACUGGUGAAGAUUGUGGUGCAGAUGAUUAGCAGAUUGUAUCACUAUCUUCACGCUGAAUUGAAUGGUCACCAUUCAUUAUCCUGCUGCAAUUCAUAAUCAUCAUAUCUUACUCUGGUAGACAUUUUUGAUGAUGUGUUCGCCUCAACGCAGCUUUCCACUACCUCUCACCAGGAUCCUUCGGUUCGAGAGCACGUGGGCGUGAGGUUGAGCGGUCUUUUAGUAAGAGUUGGUUGAAGGUUUUAGUUCAGAAGGUCAGCAUAUUGUAUCACCAUCUUACUAGAAUUCAUAGGCAUCACAUCGGUUAUUUUCCAACGAUAUGUGUUCGUGUCAAUGCAUACUUCGACUGCUUCACUUCUGAACCUUAUUCUUGUGAGUAUGUGGAUGUUGAAUCACUUAUAGCAGAUUUGUUUGGUGCACUCUGGAAUGGCACCACAACGUAGUUGAGAUAAGAAUCGGAAGAUCUUUGCACUUUUUGCGAAUGGUGUGUGCUCUCAUGGGGUGUUUAGGUUGAUUGCAUGAGAGUCAUUCUUUCCUCCAACAUUGAUCUUGUUUGACUAGAAAUCUGCAACUAAGCAAAAAUGGAGAGGUGGAUUGAGCACUACAACAGUUCCCAAGAGAUACUGCGUGUUGAGGAAGAUGACUUCUCGUUUUCUGCUUACCUAGUUCGAGCUUUUGGGUCUACUACUAACAUGGUGGCCACUUCUCUUGAAUCCCAAAGUACAGUUUCAAAUGGGUUCUUUGUUGGCAUAACUCUGGAGUAGUUGGUCACAUUUGGAAUAACUGAGGAAGAGGUUGUGCUUGGUACUAAAGGGAGUUAGUAUGACGAUAGUUAUUGGUUUUGUUCGAUUUGGGUAUGGCACUAUUUGCGACAUGGUACGAGAGUUGCUACACGCAACAUUGGUUGAUAGAGGAGACGUGCAAGCUUGUACUUGGAGGAUCGAAUUUUCGACGUGUGAAAUUGUGCACCCUCAGGAAAUUACUGCUUGUUUACUGAGACAACAAAUGUGUGGUCGAUAUCGCGGGCGGCCGACUGUGGUAUCGAUAAUUUAUUUGUUGGGUUCGUUAAGCAAGUGGGGCAGGAAUAUCCUUUUACGGCAGCCGUUAAAGAUUCACUAUUGUUAGAACUGGACCCAAAGACACAUCUAUUUUCGGAGUACGCGACGUUUCGAAUUCUUGGGCAAGACCCACUCUCAUUCUUCAGUUUUGGUUUUCAGUAUAAGUAUUUUAACCUCAUUUACUCUAGUUAAUUGUUUUGCCAUUACAAAUGUUUUUGGAAAAGUAUUUCCGUUUUCAGUUUUUAAGUGUAGCUCGAAUUUUCAACCUAUAUGUUGGUACAUAUCCAUUUUGACGUUAUCGUAUGUUAUGUUCUUACUUUUGACCUUAAUCUAUUUUAUGUUUUCGACUUUAUAUCUUUAUAAAGUAUGUUUUCUACUUUUACACUGAUGGGGAAGAAAGUAAGCUUGGAGGCAUGAUAGAGGAUUUUGCAACCCGCUCGCGACGGUGUGGUAUAUUCUCUUUGAUGCACCCACUCUGACUUGAUUUCUCUUUAUACAUAUAUUCUUCUUACUAUUUUCGUGUAUUUCAGUUUAGUAGGUGAUUUUAAAUUUCGGGGACGAAAUUCUUUUUAAGGGGGGUAGAUUGUUACACCCGCCCCUAAUUUAAAUCGUAUUUUCACUAAGUUUGAGUUUAUCUUGCUUUUAAAAUUGUUUUUGGGUCUUAAAUGGUGUGCCCAAGGGGCCCCACCCCCUGUUUUGUCCCCCGUUCCCUUUCCCUUUCUUUUAUUUAUUUUCUUCUUUCUUCUUCUUCUUCUUCUUCUUUUCUGUUUCUUUUUCUUUCUUUUCCGUCUGUCCCUCUCGGCUCUCUCUGCGCCCUCUCUUCUUUGCACCGCAACAAGCACACGCACGCACCCAUUGCACCUGCGCGAGGAAGACCAUCAUCAUCUCGUCCUGCUCUCUCUCCCUCUCGUGUUUGCGAACCCAGAAAAUCGGAAAGGAUCUCCCGCGAGAUUUUUAUAUUUUCCGGUUAGGUAAGCCUUAAAUCCCUCUCUUUCGUCCUAGAAUCUUUGAGAAUGGGUUCUAAUUGGUUUUAUUUCGUGAUUUUUGGAGGUUUUAGGAUGAAAACAAACUCGGGUGCAUGAACACCCAUUUCCGGCGAGGAACCCGCCACUUUCGAGUUAAUCUCCGGCCAAACCACGGCGAGUUGGCCGGCGUGCAAGGUAUCAAUCUCUUCGUCUCGUCGAUUACUACAACUUUCCUUUUUGUUUCACCCAAUUUCGUUGAGUAUUGAAGAAGUUAUACUCAUUUGAAUCUUACCCAGUUUCCGGCGAGUCCGACGGCUUUCGAGGCUUUUUCCGGUCAAACCACGGCGAAUUAGACGUCGUGUGAGGUACCAUUCUCUUCGUCUCUUCGAGGGCUACAACUUUCGUUUUUGUCUCGCUUGAUUUCGUUGAGUUUUGACAAAGUUAUAGCCAUUUAAAAUUGGGUGGUUUUCCGGCCGAAAUUCCGGCCUUCUUCUUCCUCGGGUCCGGCAACCCAUCAAACUUGGGCCCUUUGGGCCGUUUCUGUUAAGGGCUUUAAGCCCAAACCCUAAACCUUUGGGCUUUAGGACCAAACCCAAGAACCCAAACCCUAUGACCCAAACCCGGAUCCAAGCCCAGACCUGUUUGACCUGGUUCGACCCGGAUCCUGACCCGUUGACUUUGACCGGUCAACGUUGACUUUUCUAGUUGACUUUUCGGGUUUUCGUCCAAGACCUUCCUAGGCUAAUUUCGACGUCCUGGAUCCGUUUUUGAAGUUCGUUUUCCCAAAUUCAAUCGUUUGAGUAGAGUUUGACUAAAUGGAUCAUUUAUGUGCUUAGGUGAAUUUAAUGACGGCGGUUCCGUUAUUCCUAUUUGGUAUGGCGUUGCACCAACGGUGUACGGUGAGUGGACCCCUUCUAAAAUGCAUGUUUUAUAGUAGAAAUGCAUACAUAAAAAGUAUGAUUUGAUGAUUACCUUUUAUGAAACGUUUUGUGAGAUAACAUGCUUAUUGAGGCUACUUUAAAUUAUUACUAUUUUUCCUAUAACCCGUGUUCUUAUAGAAUAUCUGAUGGAUGACGAUAUGAUAUUAGAACAUGUUUAGAAUGUCACAGCCCGUCCCGGGAUUUCUAUAUCGGGGGCGUGAAUUGACGUAACUACCCUUGACGGACAUUCGGGUACGUGUGUGUGCGACAUUAUUGAAUUAAUUUUGUAAGUUUUGGGAUUUUAAUUUUGGAAUUUGGAAAUUUUUGUGGUUAGGGAAUUGGAUGGAUGGUGAGGAUUGUGUUGGACCACACAAUCACACACACACGCACUCCCUGUCUUCUCUCCCUCCCGUAGCUCUCUCUGUCCCUCUCCCUCACGAUCUCUCUCUUUCCCCUCACCCUAUACGUACGGCCUUCACCCAAAACCCUUCAAAACUCGACGGAUCGAGGCAAAUAAGGUAUGCAUCUUCAUCCUUUCGUCGUCCUGAGUUCAUUGGUGCUAGUUUUAGGAAGUGAAACCUUCGAUUUCACAUAGAUCCCGAACCUCCAUUUUUGAGGUACUGUUCAUGCGAACGUAAAAUGUUGUGUUUCAGGAGAUUUCAAGCUUGUGGUGAGCUUUAGGAGGUUCCUAAGGAAGCUCGGGGACGUUCGUUGGAGAGUUUUGGACGUCGGGAUCGUAGGUUUCAAGUUUGGCCGAAUCUUUGGUUUUUCCAAGGUGAGAUUUCGUAGUUUUUAGGCCCUAAAACAAGUCCAACGUGAUUGUACACUCUUAGGGCUUCAAUUUGGUAUAAAAUACGAAGAAAAUGGGUGAAAAACGAAGGAGAAUAGUGAGUUUGAAAAUCGGCCGGAGUUCGGCCGGAGUCCGGCCACCAGAGAACCAGUCCGGCGAGACCUGCGAAGAAGACGACACGUGCGCUGCACGUGCUGCGCGUGGCCAGCGCGUGGACCCGUGCCACGUGUGGCGCGUGGGGGCGCGUGGGGCUUCCAAAAAUUUUUCUAAAAAUUUCUCGACGCUCGUGACGUCGAGUAGGUCGAUGUGGUAUAUUAUUAUACCAAAAUUGAGCAUCGUAUGAGAAGUUAUUUCAAAUUAUUGGUGAUGUGCUUAAAAUUAAUGUUUUUAUAGUUGUUUCGCAUAUAGGUGAGACGUAUCCCGAGGACGACCGCAUCCAGGGACGCCACGGGGGUUACGACGACCCGUCGACUUAUCAGUGAGUGGGCAGUUUUGUUUUCGUAUUACCUAUAUACUACUGUUUUUCCCAGAAAAAUGUUUAUAUGAAAAUAUGUUUUGAAUAUGCCAUGCAUAGAAUUAUUUGAAAAUCAUGAAUUGGUUUAUGAACUAUAUGAUUGAAAUAUGAUGCAUACAUGUUGCAUGGUGCUGUGGAGGCACAGGUAAGUCAGGUGAGUUCAUUUAUUCAUUGAAUUGUUGUUGUUGAGAUGAGUUGAGCUCAUAAUCUGCACCCUAGGUGUUAGUGCUUAUAUUAUUCACCACACCGCACGCUCGUCUUGGAUCCAAGUAGGUGGAUGUCGUACAGACCAUGUGAGGGUUCCGACAUGCUAGUCGUACAGAUCACUAGGCGUGAUUCCGACUAGUGGGUGACCUUAGUUAUGCGCGCUGAUGAUAUGAUGAGAGAAGCACUAGAGCGUAUUUUUACACCUUUCAUCGUAUAGACUACCUUACGUAGUUCCGAGUGAUGUGCAGAGUAGGGCCGUAUAGGUCACUGUGGUGACUCCGGCUUAGUGGGAUUUUUGAGCUAUUGAAUUAAUCGUAUAGGACCAACUGCAGGGUCUCCGAUUGAUUCCUUAUUUCACCUGAUUUAUAUUUUUUAUUUAUGUCAUGGCAUGUUUUCUUGAAAAUGUUAAAGAUUUGAGAUUUAAAUGUUGAGAUUUUAUAUGGUUAUAUAUAUUUCUGGGAAAGUAUACAGGUUUUUACGGCGAGGGGAUAUAACUGUUUUAAUGAAAUGUUUUGGAAAACUAAUUUGUUUUACUGACCCACUCAUUUUGUUUUGCGCCCCUCCAGGUUCUAGUUUAGCGGUGGUUGGCUCACGAGGUCCUUUCCGGCUUUCUGACAGAUUUGGGACAUGUAGGACUCACCUGAGGGUGAUGUAUUCUUAUUUUAGUCCUACUUGACUGCAGUUAACCUAUGCUCUGAACUUAUGUGUUUACUUGUAAACUCGUCCGGUUAUGUCCGUAUGUGGUUAUGUUGAGUUUGGGUUGAAUUUCUGUUGUUAUUACGCUUCCGUGUCGUGCUUAUGGUUACGUCACGCCCACGUGACGGCCAGCACACCUGGAUCCUCCGGAUCAGGGUGUGUCAGUUUGGUAUCAGAGCUUAGGUUGCAGUCCUGUAAAAUUGUUAAUGUCUUAACGAUCUUUUUGAUGUUUUCUGUCAGAAUCAUGCCGCCUCGUAGAGAGCGUAGGGAGUCCCGCCGUACUCCUGAACCUAAUUUCCCAGAUAUUACUCAGUUAGGGGAAGCGAUGGCCCAGGCUUUACAGAAUGUGAUUCGUCCUCCCCCUCCUCCGAGGACACCUCUGGAGACCAUGUACAACUUGAAGUUAGAUCGGUUUAUGGGUAAUGAAAGUCAUGAGGGGGCAGAGAAAUGGCUUGAUCAUAUUGAGAAAACCUUUCAGGUGAUGCAGAGUCAGGGGAAUCUCCCUGCUAAUAGGUGGGUGGAGACCACCACUUGGUUUCUGGGUUGUGAACCAGCAGCAUGGUGGAUAAAUCAGGCUAGGUACAUGUCACCUGAGACGGCAGCCGACUGGAAAGUAUUCAAGGAGCAUUUUAUGAAGAGAUUUCGUUCCUCCUGAGUAUAUUGACCGUAAGAAGCAGGAAUUCACCAGGUUGAAACAGAGAAAUAUGUCGGCACAUGAAUAUUAUAGAAAGUUUACUGAUUUGUCUCGUUAUGACACUGAUAUAGCUGGUAAUCAGGGAGAGAUGCUUCGACGUUUCAAGUUGGGAUCUAAGAAGAAGUGGCGUACCUUUGCCAAUGCACUUCCCUGCGCUGAUUAUCAUGAGUAUUUCGAGAUUUUGGUUAGGAUGGAGGACUCUGAUAAUCUUCCUGACAGUGAGGAUGACGAGGACAAGAAUGAGGGUCAGAAGAAGAAUGAUAAGGGUAAGGGUAUUUCUAUUCCUGGACCUCGACAGACACAGAGUUUUUAAGAAGAGUGGAGCGAGUUCGAGUUCUUCUAGUGGGGGAUAUAGUUUUACUGGCCCGAGGAGAGGUGGUGGAAGAUUUUCUGGUGGACCCAGAUUUCAGGGUCAGAGGGAUGCUGGUGGAUCUGGCGCUCCAUGGUGCCGCCGUUGUAACUCCCGUCACCAUGGUGAGUGUAGGAGAGGUUCUGGUGCCUUGUUUUUACGUGUGGGACAGAUGGGACAUCGGGCUUCUCAGUGCCCCCAGGGUCAGCAGAGACCGCAGCAGACUAAUAUGCCACCUCCAGCACCAGUUCAGCAGAGUUUUGGGACCGGGUGGUUAUGGCCAGCCGAGUCGUGGUGGUGCCUACCACUAUCAGGGGGAUGCUGCUCCGUAUGCUUCCGGACCUUAUCAGUAUUCUCAGGAGCCUUAUCCUCAGGCAGGGUAUUCUCAGGAUUUUGGAGGUUAUUCUUCUUAUUCCUCUAUGCCAGCUGGUGGAUCGCAGUGGCAUCAGGGAGGCCAGCCCCGUCAGGGGGAAGUUGCUACUGGUGGUGCAGGAUCAUCCAGGCAGCCUAGUCAGCCAGGCCAGGGACGAGGUAAUCAGGGCAAUAGAGGCCGAGGUGGACGUCAGCAAGCUCAGGGGCGAGUUAAUCAUAUUGUCCCUGCAGGAGGCUCAGAACCAUCCAGACUUGAUAAUGGGUACGUUAAAUGUUCUUGGUCAUUUUGCUAAGGUUUUGAUUGAUUGUGGCGCUACGCACUCUGUGAUUUCUCAUACGUUUGCUCAAAUAACCCAACCUCACCCUUCACCUCUAGGAUUUGAUUUAGAGUUUGCCAUGCCUAGAGGAGAUAAAUGUAUUGUGGAUAGUGUGUAUCUGGGGUGUCCAGUGAUGGUUGAGGGCGUGAUUAUGUCCGCUGAUCUUAUUCCGUUAGAUAUUGUGGAUUUUGAUGUGAUUUUAGGGGCCGAUUGGUUACACCAUAAUCGUGCCCAUAUUGAUUGUUAUGGUAAAUCAGUUACUUUUUAUCGUCCUGGAUUACCCGAGGUUAUUUUUGUGGGCGAGAGAAGUGGGGUGAGACAUGGAGUUAUUUCUGCCAUAAGGGCGAGGAAAUUAUUAUCGAAGGGUUGUCAGGGAUAUUUGGCACAUGUGGUAUUAAAUGAUGUUGCUCCUACUAGUAUAGAAGAAGUUGGUGUGGUCAGACAUUAUCCGGAUGUUUUCCCUGAUGAUUUGCCGGGAUUGCCGCCAGACAGAGAGGUGGAAUUCUCUAUUGAUUUGCUUCCAGGUACGGACCCUAUAUCUCUGACUCCUUAUAGAAUGGCUCCUGCUGAGUUAAGGGAAUUAAAAAUCCAGUUGCAAGAAUUACUUGAUAAAGGUUUUAUUCAACCUAGUUCUUCACCUUGGGGUGCCCCAGUAUUAUUUGUGAAGAAGAAGGAUGGAACUCUUUCGAUUGUGUAUUGAUUAUAGACAAUUGAACCGGGUAACGAUUAAAAACCGUUAUCCAUUGCCCCGCAUUGAUGAUUUGUUUGAUCAGCUGAAAGGUGCGUGUGUAUUUUCUAAGAUUGAUUUGAGAUCCGGGUAUUAUCAAUUGAAGAUUAAAGAAGACGAUGUACCUAAGACGGCUUUCCGAACUCGGUACGGACAUUAUGAAUUUUCGGUUAUGCCGUUUGGGUUGACUAAUGCACCUGCAGCUUUUAUGAGAUUAAUGAAUGAGGUAUUCCAGAAAUAUCUUGAUAAAUUUGUUAUUGUUUUUAUUGAUGAUAUUCUGGUAUACUCUAAGUCCCAAGCAGAUCAUAUCCGACACCUUAAUUUGGUGUUAAGGAAAUUAAGGGAGCAUCAGUUGUAUGCCAAGUUCAGUAAAUGUCAGUUUUGGUUGACUGAAGUGGCAUUUUUGGGGCAUGUUGUAUCAGCUCAAGGUAUUCAAGUUGAUCCUCAAAAGAUUGCAGCAGUGGAGAAUUGGGAGCAACCUCGAACCGUCACGGAGGUACGAAGUUUUCUUGGCUUAGCAGGUUAUUAUCGACGGUUCGUUCAGGAUUUCUCUAUGAUUGCUUUACCGUUGACAAAGUUGACCAGGAAGGAUGUUAAAUUUGAGUGGGAUGAGAAUUGUGAGCGGAGUUUUCAACAAUUGAAGUAUUGCCUCACUCAUGCACCGGUGUUGGUACUUCCCGACGAUAGCGGUAAUUUUGAGAUAUAUAGUGAUGCUUCAUUAAAUGGUUUGGGAUGUGUUUUGAUGCAGCAUAAUAAGGUGAUUGCCUAUGCUUCUAGGCAGUUGAAAAAAUCAUGAAAGGAACUAUCCUACUCACGAUCUUGAAUUGGCAGCAAUUGUUUUUGCUUUGAAAAUUUGGAGGACAUUACUUUGUAUGGUGAGAAGUGUAAGAUCUUCACUGAUCACAAGAGUCUUCAGUAUUUGUUUACUCAGCAUGAUCUUAAUCUUCGUCAGCGAAGGUGGAUGGAAUUGUUAAGUGAUUAUGAUUGUUCUAUUGAAUACCAUCCAGGUCGUGCUAAUGUAGUAGCGGAUGCACUGAGUAGGAAACCUCAAGGUAGACUUAAUGCCCUUAUAUGCUAGUCGUGUUCCUCUUCUUGCUGAAUCUGAGGACAACUGGGGUAAGGUUGGAAAUUGAAAGACCGAGGAUGGAGCUUUUCUUGCUAGUUUUCAAGUCAGGCCAGUUUUGGUGGAGCGUAUACUUGCAGCUCAGAUGGUGAAUGAGGAAAGUUCAAGGAGUUGGUUCAGUUAAGAAGUGAAGGGAAAAAGAAAGACCUCAGAAUUCGGGAAUCAGACGGUAUGCUCAUGCAAGAAGACAGAAUGUAUGUUCCGAAUAAUGAGGAAUUGAAGAAGGAAAUUCUGGACGAAGCACAUUGUUCAGCUUAUGCGAUGCAUCCGGGAGGAACAAAAAUGUAUAUCAUACCAUUCGACCAUUUUAUUAUUGGCCGGGUAUGAAAAGAGAAAUUGCAGAAUAUGUGAGCAGGUGUAUUAUUUGCCAGCAAGUGAAAGCAGAAAGAAAGAAGCCAUUUGGGCGAAUGCAACCCCUUCCUGUUCCCCAGUGGAAAUGGGAAAAUAUAACCAAUGGAUUUCGUGUAUAAACUUCCUCGUACGCGAAAUGGAUUUGAUGGUAUUUGGGUGAUUGUGGAUCGACUCACCAAGUCGGCGCAUUUCAUUCCUGUGAGGGAGAAAUACCCUCUGAAUAAAUUGGCUAAGUUGUUUAUUUCGAAGAUUGUCAAGUAUCAUGGAGUCCCAGUAAAUAUUAUCUCCGAUCGAGACCCGAGGUUUACUUCUAAAUUUUGGGUGGCUUUUCAGGAAGCUCUGGGUACUCAAUUACUGUAUAGCACAGCUUAUCAUCCUCAAACUGAUGGGCAAUCAGAGAGGACCAUUCAGACGUUGGAAGGAUAUGUUGAGAUCUUCAGUACUGCAAUUUGGUGAUUCUUGGCAUGAUCGUCUGGACUUAAUGGAGUUUGCUUAUAAUAACAGUUUUUCACUCGAGCAUUGGUAUGUCCCCAUUCGAGGCACUUUAUGGUAGGGCGUGUCGAACGCCAUUAUGUUGGUCUGAGGUUGGUGAACGGGUAUUAGAAGGCCCUGAGAUCGUGGAUGAGACGACUCAAAAUGUUCAGAUAAUUAAGUCAAACCUGAAAGCAGCCCAGGAUCGACAGAAGAGUUUAGCGGAUCGGCAUACUACUGAUCGAGUGUAUGAUGUGGGUGAUUGGGUAUUUUUGAAAUUGUCGCCUUGGAGAGGUGUAGUACGAUUUGGGAAAAGAGGAAAGUUAAGCCCGAGAUAUAUUGGACCUUAUGUGAUCACUGAAAGAGUUGGUGAAGUUGCCUAUCGGUUGGAACUGCCUCCGGAGUUAUCUAAGGUCCAUAAUGUGUUCCACGUCUCUAUGCUUCGGCAUUAUAUUUCUGAUCCUUCUCAUGUGAUCCCUCCUCAACCGUUAGAGAUUAAUCCGGAAUUUGACGUAUGAUGAGGAACCGGUCACUAUCUUGGAUUGGAAAGAUAAGGUUCUAAGGAACAAGACGGUGAGUUUGGUAAAGGUGUUGUGGAUGAACCAUUCUGCAGAGGAAGCCACCUGGGAGACGGAAGAUCGGAUGAGAGAGAUGUACCCAAGGUUAUUUUAUGGGUACUAAGUGGUUAAUUUGGAUUGUGGGAAUUUCGGGGACGAAAUUCUAUAAGGAGGGGAGAUUGUCACAGCCCGUCCCCGGGAUUUCUAUAUCGGGAAUGUGAAUUGACAGUAACUACCCUUGAUUGGACAUUCGGGUACGUGUGUGUGCGACAUUAAAUUGAAAUUUUGUAAGUUUUGGGAUUUUAAUUUUGGAAUUUGGAAAUUUUUUGUGGUUAGGGAAUUGGAUGGAUGGUGAGGAUUGUGUUGGACCACACAAUCACACACACACGCACUCCCUGUCUUCUCUCCCUCCCGUAGCUCUCUCUGUCCCUCUCCCUCACGAUCUCUCUCUUUCACCCUCACCCUAUACGUACGGCCUUCACCCAAAACCCUUCAAAACUCGACGGAUCGAGGGGCAAAUAAGGUAUGCAUCUUCAUCCUUUCGUCGUCCUGAGUUCAUUGGUGCUAGUUUUAGGAAGUGAAACCUUCGAUUUCACAUAGAUCCCGAACCUCCAUUUUUGAGGUACUGUUCAUGCGAACGUAAAAUGUUGUGUUUCAGGAGAUUUCAAGCUUGUGGUGAGCUUUAGGAGGUUCUAAGGAAGCUCGGGGACGUUCGUUGGAGAGUUUUGGACGUCGGGAUCGUAGGUUUCAAGUUUGGCCGAAUCUUUGGUUUUUCCAAGGUGAGAUUUCGUAGUUUUUAGGCCCUAAAACAAGUCCAACGUGAUUGUACACUCUUAGGGCUUCAAUUUGGUAUAAAAUACGAAGAAAAUGGGUGAAAAAACGAAGGAGAAUAGUGAGUUUGAAAAUCGGCCGGAGUUCGGCCGGAGUCCGGCCACCGGAGAACCAGUCCGGCGAGGACCUGCGAAGAAGACGACACGUGCGCUGCACGUGCUGCGCGUGGCCAGCGCGUGGACCCGUGCCACGUGUGGCGCGUGGGGGCGCGUGGGGCUUCCAAAAAAUUUUUCUAAAAAUUUCUCGACGCUCGUGACGUCGAGUAGGUCGAUGUGGUAUAUUAUUAUACCAAAAAUUGAGCAUCGUAUGAGAAGUUAUUUCAAAUUAUUGGUGAUGUGCUUUAAAAUUAAUGUUUUUAUAGUUGUUUCGCAUAUAGGUGAGACGUAUCCCGAGGACGACCGCAUCCAGGGACGCCACGGGGGUUACGACCCGUCGACUUAUCAGUGAAUGGGCAGUUUUGUUUUCGUAUUACCUAUAUACUACUGUUUUUCCCAGAAAAAUGCAUUUAUAUGAAAAUAUGUUUUUGAAUAUGCCAUGCAUAGAAUUAUUUGAAAAUCAUGAAUUGGUUUCACAUGAACUAUAUGAUUGAAAUAUGAUGCAUACAUGUUGCAUGGUGCUGUGGAGGCACAGGUAAGUCAGGUGAGUUCAUUUAUUCAUUGAAUUGUUGUUGUUGAGAUGAGUUGAGCUCAUAAUCUGCACCCUAGGUGUUAGUGCUUAUAUUAUUCACCACACCGCACGCUCGUCUUGGAUCCAAGUAGGUGGAUGUCGUACAGACCAUGUGAGGGUUCCGACAUGCUAGUCGUACAGAUCACUAGGCGUGAUUCCGACUAGUGGGUGACCUUAGUUAUGCGCGCUGAUGAUAUGAUGAGAGAAGCACUAGAGCGUAUUUUUACACCUUUCAUCGUAUAGACUACCUUACGUAGUUCCGAGUGAUGUGCAGAGUAGGGCCGUAUAGGUCACUGUGGUGACUCCGGCUUAGUGGGAUUUGAGCUAUUGAAUUAAUCGUAUAGGACCAACUGCAGGGUCUCCGAUUGAUUCCUUAUUCACCUGAUUUAUAUUUUUUAUUUAUGUCAUGGCAUGUUUUCUUGAAAAUGUUAAAGAUUUGAGAUUUAAAUGUUGAGAUUUUAUAUGGUUAUAUAUAUUUCUGGGAAAGUAUACAGGUUUUUACGGCGAGGGGAUAUAACUGUUUUAAUGAAAUGUUUUGGAAAACUAAUUUGUUUUACUGACCCACUCAUUUUGUUUUGCGCCCCUCCAGGUUCUAGUUUAGCGGUGGUUGGCUCACGAGGUCCUUUCCGGCUUUCUGACAGAUUUGGGACAUGUAGGACUCACCUGAGGGUGAUGUAUUCUUAUUUUAGUCCUACUUGACUGCAGUUAACCUAUGCUCUGAACUUAUGUGUUUACUUGUAACUCGUCCGGUUAUGUCCGUAUGUGGUUAUGUUGAGUUUGGGUUGAAUUUCUGUUGUUAUUACGCUUCCGUGUCGUGCUUAUGGUUACGUCACGCCCACGUGACGGCCAGCACACCUGGAUCCUCCGGAUCAGGGUGUGUCAUAGAACACCUCUUUAUAGUAUAGAUGAUGGAUGACUUUAUACUAUGAAGUUGUUUUUCAAUAUAUAUGUUCAAUGGUUUUGUACUUACCUAGUGGUCCUUUCCGCUACGGGACGUAGGGAUAGAUUCCGGUCAUUCCCGGGCGACGGUUUGGUGUUGGCAUAGGGCCUGGAGUGUGUUUCCUCUGGCUAUUUAGCACAGGGACGGGGAGCCGGCAUGGGGCCUGAAGUGUAUUUUCCUCUGACUGUCUGCUCAGAGACGGGGAGCCGGCAUGGGGCCUGGGGGUUAUCGGACAAUUCACUAGUGAUUAUUAUAUAUAUAAAAGUUAUGAUUUGAGACACUGCACAUCAUGCUAGGUUUCGGAAAACCUAUGUUUAUCAUUAUAUAUGUGUUUUCAUAAAACUUGGGGGUUAGUACGUUGAUAACUGUUUUGUUAUAUUUAUAUCAAAUUGGUCCACUCAUGUUUGUUUUGCGCCCCCUUCAGGAUUUAGGAUCGAGGCGUACAAUCCCGGCAAUCCAGGCACUUCCGCAUCGGUAUCUUCAAGUCCUCUCGGUGUAGAACCCACUUCUGUGUUCAUUCAAUUUUUAUAUUAAUCCUUUUAAUGUUCUAGAUUAGAUGUGUGCUCUGAACACGUUCCUUAAAUGCAUAUUCUUUAUUCUCUUAUAUUUAUAAGUUUUAUCUAUCCUUUAUUUUCAGCAAUUGCACUCAAUAAAUGGCUUUCGUCGCCCUCGGGUGUCGGCCAGCACGUGACCAUCCUGAUAUCCUGAGGAUAUCGGGAUCGGGGCGUGUCAAUUUGUGAAGAAGAAUUUUUAUGCACUGCAACUGUUUGAUCGUCUGUCUAAGAGAGGGAGUGCAAAUGUACAUGUGCUUUAUGUGGCCUCUUUAGAUAUGCAUGAUUUAGAAGCUAGCCCUAAACUGGAUGGUAGUAGCAGCAAGCCAAGGGUUAAAGAAGUGUCUUCUGAAGAAAAAGAUAAUGUGUCUCACAUUGAGAUUAAGAUUACUGAAUACCAUAGCUCCGAUGAAAAGUGUGUUCUGAGGUAUCUUAAUCUUUCAGACAACGCCAUGGGCAACUAUGGUGUCAAUGCAUUUGAGUCACUUCUUAGUUCACAAAACAAUUUGAGAGAACUUUAUUUGAUGAAUAUGGCAAGGCUCAAUAUGUGUCAUAACAUGAGGGAGUGGCACUGCGAUGCUAUUAGGAAGAUCAAAUGGCUGAAUGAGAAUGAGAUUUCUGUUAUGAUCAAUACCGAAGGACAAGCAAACUAUGAAGGUUUUUUUUAUUGUAUCAAAUAUGGUGAGGAGCUCACUUUUAAGCUGUUGCUCUAUUUCCAAGCUGUCAAGGCAAAAAGUCUUGGGUUUACUAAACUUGGGUCACCAAAAGAGGCUAAGAAGGUUGUUGGGAACAUGAAUGAUGUUACUGCUAGUGCCAAACAGCUAAAGGAGAUGGAACAAGGCUUGACCAGUUUGAUAGUUUUGGGGAAUGGGCGAUUGUCUGAUCUUAUUGCACAGCUGCAGGAUAUAUUAGAGGGUGUAAAUGAAGCUGAUAUCUUGCCGGAGAAGUUUGAUAAUGCAGUUAUUAAAGCUCAGAUUCCACAAUUGGCUCGAGAAAUCAGGGAGUUAACCUCAUCUCGACCUGUAACCAUCUACAAUGAGAAUUCUUCCUCUAGUGGGAAUUAUGCUUCAUAUUUAGUUCCACUUGCUGCACUUGCUGCAAUGGGCUAUUGUUACAUGUGGUGGAGAGAUUGGUCAUUUUCAGAUGUGAUGUAUGUGACAAGGCAUAAUAUGGCAAAUGUUGUUGAAGCUCUAAUUAGAGAGGUAGCUAGCAAGAGCAAUGACUUUGCUGGGAACGGAACAACAAAUACAUUGAAGAUGAGUGAAUGCGCUAUGGGCACCUAUUUAGAUUUAGUAUGCUCUCUUAGUCACCUGGAAAGCAAUUUUGGUGGUGCCUUAGUUAUUGAUUUACAUGUUGAGUUCUCUUUGUUUUUCACUUGUAACCCUGACUGUCGGCUUUUAUGGGAUCCAGGAGAUGCAAUGGCUAAAACUGUUAAGAUGAUACUCUAUUUUAAAAAUGUCAAGGCAGAGUGGCUUAACAGGGUUACAAAAAUAACCAAGUUUGGUAGUUUUAUGGUACAAUUGGAUAGAAGUGUUGAAGCUUUGAAUAAGGGCAAAAAGCAAAAAACUAGAGAUGGUGGAUAUGGUGAUGAGAUAAAGAGAUUGCAUGAUUUAAGCGUGAACAAGGUUGUGGAUAUGGCGACUAGGUUCGAAAGUGCAUUGGUAGGACAUGUUAACAAUAUAAUUUGUAGUACUACUGUAAGAUUGGAGAGACUUCACUCCGAUGAUUGGUGGUGUUCUGCUAUAUCUCAACUGCUGAUGAUUGGUAAAUCCAUCGUAUCUAGUUCAAACAAAACUCAGGAAGCAAAUGUGGAUGCUGUUUUGGGAACCGGUGAUCCGAGUCUACUAGUUGAGAACACUUCAGUUGAGCAGCUUGGUUUCGUCAGAAAGGUGACAAUCUUUAAGGACUCCACUUCCAUUAUUGGUGAUGCAGCAUCAAAAGAUGGGUUGCAAGUCCAUGGUGUGUCUCCAUUUGACAUUAUGGGCAGAAAUCUUUUCUGGGAAAAGCAACUGCAAAGGCUGCAAAUGGGAGCUGUCACAAGAAAGUUCUUGGUGGUUAAUUUCAGUUCUGGUUUUGAUGAAUCUUCAUAUCUCUCUCGGGUUGAAAAUUUUGAGGAGAUGUCACAAGAAAAUUAUGGAGAGGCUACAGGAAACAAGAACUCACUCACUCAGUUCAAGCGAGCUGCCAUACCUGGAAGGAUUAUAAUGAUUUCAAAGUCAAGUUCUACAAUUCCAUUUUUAAGCCUUGAGGACAAGGCUAAUUUUCAAGGGGGAAGUAUUGUUAUGACCCAAAUUAUUACUGAGGUUUUAUGCUUUAUUACUGUGAGGAAUUGUUAAUAUGCCAGCUGGCAUUUAAAAGUGUAGAGGUUUUAUAAAAGGAGCCCCAGCUCCCCCAAAUGUAUCAGAUCAGAAUUUUACAAAAGAAAUCAAUAUUGGAGCUCUGCUCCUUCUUCUCUCAUUCCCUCUUCUUCCAUAGCUUUCUUGUGCCACUUGCAGGUUGAUUAAGGGAAUUGAGAAUUAGAUCUUAUCAUAACGUCACUACCACAACUCCCAAUAUCAUCACGCUGAAUGUCCACACUCGGUUUCUGCUCAAUUAAAGCGUCAAUUUCCUGCAAAAUACUCUCAUCGAAAUCAUCAUCGUUAAGAAUUCCAGAUGCAGAGAAAGAAUCAAAUGAAGUCAGAAACUGCGGUUGUCUGAUUGGAGUUGUGAAAGAAUCCGAUUUUGACACGCUUGAUUCGGUCCGGCUAACGCUUAAGCUCCCGGAACACGAAGCACUGCCAUAUUCACCACGCGCUGAAUUGUACCGGCUUGCGGAAAUCGGAAGCGGUGUUCUUUGAACUCUAUUGAGCUGAGUUGGCGUUUGGAUUCCAUUUCCGCCAAAAAACACAAUUGAAUUGAUUUAAAUUGAAGCAAGAAAACAGCCAAGUAGCCAAAAAAUAGUAAGAAGAUGAAACCUUUGAUUCCUGAACGACUUACUUGGUAUGAGGGAGGUGAUGAUCAGGUGAAACGGCGUCGUUGCAGGGGCGUUUGCGAUCAAUGAGGGCCUUGGCGGCUCUGAAAUUCCGAGAGAUGCGGUUUCUUUGUUCCGCCGUGAGCCCUCCGCCGUACGCCUGAACGUUUUCCUUGGACAUUGCUUCCAAGAUUCCAACGGAGGAUUUGGCCUGACGGCCUGACCAGGCUGAUAACAGUGUAAAACCUUAGGAGCUAAGGAAAAACUAAGAGAGAGAUUGUAGAGAGGGAAAGUUUUUUCUUUUUGGAAACCAGUAGAGAGGGAAAGUUUGUUAAACCUGAAUAAUAUUCUUUUCAUUCAACUUGUCUACAAUAAUUACCACUCGUGGUAUUUAUACAUUUGUAACACACCUCACUAACUAACUAAGACCACCACCAAUCAUACAUAAACACUUGUCAUAAUCCUAUGCACUCAUAGUAUCAUCACUUUAACAUUCCCCUCAAGCUCAUGUGGCAGAUUGCCAAGCAUGAGAUUGGAACAAUUACGAGCGAACUGGGGUGAACACAAGCCUUUGGUGAACAUGUCGGCAUAUUGAUCUGCAGAGGUAACAAACUACAAAAUAAUUGUCCUUUGAUGAACUCUUUCACGAACAAAGUGGCAAUCAAUCUCUAUAUGUUUGGCUUUAUAGUGCAAUACAGGAUUAGUGGCAAGAGCCAUUGUUGAAAUGUUAUCACAAUGCAAAACUAGAACAGAAGGAGAACCAACAUGCAAAUCUCGAAGAAGCUGUUGUAUCCAGAUAACCUUAGCAGUGGUUGUAGCCAUUGCUCUAUAUUUAGCUUCAGUGGAAGACCUACUCACUGUAUGCUGCUUUUUAGAACUCCAAGAGAUAGGAGUAUCUCCCAAAAAAAUGACAAAACCCGUGGUUGAACGACAAUCAUUGGGAUCCCCUACCCAAUCAGCAUCUGUAUAAGCUUUCAACUGAGAUGAACCUGAUUUAAAACAUAAUCCCAAAGAUAUAGUGCCUCUGCGAUAUCGUAGAAUACGUUUCACAGCAGCAAAUGAGUGGCUAAGGGUGAAUGCAUAAACUGACGUACUUGAUUGACAGAAAAAUAAAUAUAUGGUCUUGUAAAUGUUACGUAUUGCAGUGCCCCAACAAUACUUUUGUAAGUGGUAGGAUCAAAAACAGGUUCACUACCAUGAUUCAGAAGCUUCUGAUUAGGAUGACAAGGUGUGGAAAAAAGGUUUACAGUCUAGCAUAUGCAUCUUUUAAAGGAGUUCUUUGACAUACUUGGUCUGAUGAACAAAGAGUCCCUGACCCUGAUACUCAAUCUGUAAACCAAGAAAAUAAUGCAACACACCUAGAUCUUUCAUGCCAAACUCACUAGUUAACUAACUAAUAACCUUCUGAACCUUCACAGCAUCAUUACCAGUGAGAAUGAUAUCAUCAACAUAUAAUAAGAGAACAAUAAUUGAUGAACCAUCACACUUGACAAAUAAAGAAGGAUCUGCAUAUGAUGACUUGAACCCAAGCUUAGGCAAAUAACCUGAAAACCUGUCAUGCUAGGCUCUGGGAGCUUGCUUGAGACCAUAUAAAAACCUCUCUAGUUUGCACACAUAAUCUGGAUAGGUAGAAUCCACAAACCUUUGGGACUGAGACAUAUAAACUUCUUCAUCAAGAAAGCCAUGCAAAAAAGCAUUAUUGACAUCUAACUGUUUGAGUUUCCAAUUAUGAGAUGCAGCCAAGGAUAAAACCAAUCGAACUAUGGUUGGUUUGACCACAGGGCUAAAGGUUUCAUAAUAGCUAAUACCAACUUCUUGAGAAUACCCAUUAGCUACAAUUCUAGCCUUGUACCUAGCCACUGAACCAUCUGGAUUUCUCUUAAUCUUGUAAAUCCAUUUACAACCAACAAGAUUUUUGUCAGGUGCUAAGGGCACAAGCUUCCAAGUAUGAAGCAUCCAUCUCUUCUUUCAUGGCAUUUUGCCAUUGAACACACUUGACUGCACUAGAAAAAGACCGAGGUCCAAUAAAUGGAAAUGUGGAAGAAACACUAGGUGGAUGAAUGAAUGUGUUUGAAUGCACAACAGACACUGGUGAGGAAGAAUGACCAGAAGUAACUUGAGGAUUGAAACCCAAAGCAUUAGAGUCUAUAGGAAACUUGGAUUCAUAAAAAAUAACAUGUCUAGAUACUAAUAGUUUAUGAUCUUUGAGAGAGAAGCAAAUAUACCCUUUGUAUUGUGUAGCAUACCCCAGAAAAAUACACUUAGUAGUUUUAGGUUCAAGUUUAUUGCUUCUAUAGGGUUUCAAUGAAGGAUAGCAUAAACACCCAAAAAAUCUCAAAUGAUCAAGCUUAGGUGGAGAUUUAUAUAGCAUUUCAAAAGGAGACUGCAUAUGUAGGGUAGGUGUGGGCAUUUUGUUUAUAAGAAAAGUAGCAGUGGCACAGGCAUGGAACUAGAAUUUUGAAGGUAAUGAAACUUGUUGUAAAAAGGUAAUAGUUGUUUCGACAAUAUGUUGAUUUUUUCUCUCAGCCAACCCAUUAUGUUAUGGGGUAUAAGGACAAGAUUUUUUAUGAACAAUGCCUUUGGUAAGAAGAAAUUGCUUAAACUGAGUACUAACAUAUUCCCUACCCCCAUCACUCUGCAAAAUUUUUACAUGAGCAUCAAAAUAAUUCGAGACAGAAGCAAGAAAGUUGACAAAAACAGUGAACACUGCAACUUUAUUAUUUAAUGGAAAAAUCUAGGUAUAUCUUGUACAUUCAUCAAUAAAGGAAACAUAAUACUUGUAACCUUCUAUAGACAAACUAGGUGAGGGACCCCAAACAUCUAUGUGAAUUACUUCAAAUGGAGUAAGUGACUUCGAAGCAAUUACAGGAAAAAGGAGCUUGGUAAACUUGCCUUGCAAACAAGCAUUACAAGUAUGAGAUUGAGAGUUACAAGGAAAAGAUAUACAAGACUUAUUAAGUGCUGCAGUGACAGUGGAAUGUGUAGGAUGGCCUAAUUGACAAUGCCACAAUGUAGAAGAAAUCUUUUGACCCACAAAUGCAACUGGAUUAAAAACAGGAGAAAUAGACCUCUGUGGUUUGAUUAUGGGAAGUGGAUAGACAACAUUAUUACUCAGCCCUUGGAAUAGCACUCUCCCGGUGACCUUGUCCUGUAGACAGAGAGAAACAUCAUCCAUGAUACAACGACACUGAUUAUCUUUGCACAACUGAUUCAUAGAUAAUAAGUGUUGUGACAGUUUUGGAACAUGUAACACAGAGUUUAACUUGAAAUUAUGUGACUAAGUGAGAAGAGAAGAGGAACCAAUAUGUUUGACAGCUAAACCUUCACCACUAGCACUGGUCACAAUAUCAUUUGAUGGAUAAAUUUAUUGUCAUGUGCAAGUUUGACAAAUCUGAGGUCAUAUGGUUAGUUGCUCCCAAGUCAAGAAACCAGAAAUCUUGUUGAAGAGUUGAGGAUGAUGCACCAGCUCGUGCUUGCAUAGCAAGAGGAGGAUUUUGUGAGGAUAUAGUUAAUAGAUACAUAUGUGGUAUGACAAGAUACUGAAACUGUGAGCUAUUAGACUGUGGAAUCAUGCCUUGUGAAGGACCACAUGGAUUCUAGCUAGGUGCUUCACCAUAUGACCCAGUAGGCAUUGGAGUUGGCAUAGAUGAGGAUAAACCCUAAGAGAAAUGCUCUGAUGUGCCUGUGAAAUUUUUAUUCUGAUCAAAGCAAGUAGCAGCAACAUGACAACCUCUGUGACAAAUUUGACAUCCAUGUUGAAAACAAUUCAAUGCAGAAUGACCUUUGCGAUCACAUAUUUGCAGAAUGGCCUUUGCAACCCUAGAAAGAAGGAGCGAAGAAGACCAAAUGUGUACGUUUCUCUUUGGUUUUUUUUCCCUCCUAAUCGCGCUGUUCGAAAUCACGGACCUCGGGCCUGGGCCUAGUGGGCCCAAUUAUGAGGCCCAUUAUCUCCGGUCUUCUCGUUCUACUUCUAGUUACCCAAAUUAAGAACGUACGCUUUUAGCGCGAGAGAGAAAUGGAGGCCCUGAUUGCCUCGUACGGAGACUCGUCGUCGGGCUCAGACUCCGAGUCGCCGGCUCCACCUCCACCACCACCUCCGGAGCUCAACAACCCUCAAGAACCGACCCCUGCGCUGCCUCCACCUCCUCUGUCACUUCUCGACAGCCCCAAUUCCUUCGGUAACCUCUGAUUCCCAUCAAUUUUCAUCUUUUAGCUUUCUGUUGUGAUGGCUUUUUCCGAGUUGCCCACCAAGUGUUUGAUGUUUUGCCUCCGAAGAAUUUCUGGACUUAUCGGCAAGCGCCCAGCCGAGCAGAGUUCGGAACUUUCCUCACGUCGAAGGGAACUACGCAGUACAUGUAUACAUCCCAGGUUAUCAAAAUUCUCGAAAUUUUCAGCUCCAUUAGCAAAUGCGAUCGCUUUGCACUUAGUUUUUGCUUGUUUAAUUGUGUGGUUCCAGUUUAUAUACCACCAGCACCAAGGAAAGAGAUGGCCUUGUUUUUGAACAAGCUAGCUUCUCUGCUGCCUGGUCUCCAUGCGGUUGACGUUGACUUCCCGCUUGACAUUCUGCGUAAGGACGAGCACAAGCUUGAACAAGUUGCUUUAGGCAGAGAGUUCCAUAUAAGUCUCGGAAGAACUGUUCCGAUGCGGGUGCACCAGAUUGAUUCCUUGGUGACAAUGCUGCGGCAGAAGCUUCAGAUUCAGAGGCGGUAUGGUUACAUUUACAUUCUCUUGUCUGCAUUGCGUGAAUUUAGUUCUGUUAUUUAACAUAAUUCUGUAAGCCUGUUUUCGUAUAAAUGCACGGUUGAAUCAGCUUUCAUUGUCUACAAGUCUGAAAUAUUUUAACUUCCAUUGAUUUCAGAUAACAAAGCAGAUUCAAGCUGUGAAUGAGGUGUAUAAGCUUCACAAUCUUCCUGAAUUUUACAAGGUUAGCUUUUUCGUGCUUUUCAAACUCGAAUCGGUUCCUGAAUGUAUGACAAUAUAUUGGAUCAAACGAUUUCUCAAAACACUAAUUCACUUGAUGGGGUCUUGGUGAUCACAGGAUCCACGCCCUCACAUCUCGGUAGCUUGAGCAUUGGGUGACAUCAGCAAUUCCCUGAACAAAGUGGUUGAAGAAGAAAGACGAAGAUCUACCAUCGGAGGAUCGUUACAGAAAUGUAUUUUUACCAGUAAAUUCAAUGGUAUCGAUAUCGAAUGUAGGAUUGGUAAUAAAACACACAAAAUAUGUAAAUUUUCUGAAGAAUAAUGUAGCCAUUUAACUGUAUUGUGAAAUUCCGAGAAUAUAUGGCUGAGCAUUGGAUGAGAAGACAUUUCUUCGUUGGUGUCGAACUUCUUGUCGAAGGUAUUGGCACCAGUGUAAACGUCAUCAUCCAUGUUGAUGGUAAUUACUUACCAGCUACUAAGGGUGUCGGAACAACCUUGCACGCACCCUCCUGUGCAUUACUUGGUAUUGUCUCGGAUUCUCCAAACUUGAAUGCUAAUGUAAACCCACUCUUGACCUUUCCGUCAUCUGCAAUUACCGGAAAGCCGGCUUGGAUGUUGCCGUUGACCUACCAAACUUAAAAUACCGACGAAAUGUUGGAGUACUUCAGUGUACUACUCGUUUUUGUAUGCGAGAGCUCCACCUCUAUCGUUGUAACAGCAUCUGAUGCGGACUAGUCCUUCAUUCCCGUUACUCUUUGCCAUCUCCACUUCAAACUUGGUGUGAUGGCUCCCGGCCUCCUCUCCGGUGAAAUUGAGUAACCCCGGAGCUGGCGUGCCAUCAAGAUUUCCGUUGUGUCUCUAUUUGCUGUUGUGGUUCGGUUCCACUAUAAACUUGGCAGAGUUAGCAUUUUCAUUCUGUUGUCUGUAUAUCUUGAUAUUACAAGUAUUUGUUGUGCAAAAUGCAUGCUAAGUUCAAGUUAUGUUUAUAUGUGUGUGUGUGUUGCCACUUUUCCAACGUUUUCUCCAAAAUUGUGACGAGCAACAAAGCAGUUUUGAUUCCGUGCACAACAACGAUACCUCGAAAGAAAUUGAUUCUUCCCCAGAAAGAUGUUUUAAAACAAAGUUGAACAAGGGAAGAAAACUUUUGAAUCGCAAUCAGAUGUCUGGUCAAAUUCUUUAACAGUUGAUGUAUACAGAAGUUCCUUGCUUAUGACACGACUUAUGAGAGGAUGUAUGUAUUGCAUUUGCAUCAAAAGAAAGAAAGAAGGUUGUAAGUGGUAAGGGAACGACUACCGAUGCCGCUCCACUUCUAAUCAAAGGGAUCGAUCCGAGGGUCGUGUUCACUUGCCAUCGCCAUUCCAGUGCAAAGGCAUGUCGGGCACAUUACCUGCCACAUUUACAGACGCAAUGUUAGAUAUAGCUGCCAUUUGGAAGUCAUCUCUCAAAAUUUUGCUACUAAAUUAAUCUUAAACUUCAUUUCCAGUGCAAUUUUUUUCUUCUGAAUUGUCUUUCACAUGCCCGACAAAUAGAAGUAUCACCAAACAUGUGAUAUAGAGCAUCUAAGCGGCAGGCACUAAAAGGAAUUUAGUAUGCAAUAAACAUUCAACGGACAUAAUUAUAUGUCUAACCUUUCCCGCUCCUGAGCAAUUUGAACAUCGUUCAGUUUUUGGCAGAGAUAGGGGUUGGUUUCCGCCAUCAGCUGUCGAUACUGGUUCAGUAAGAACAAGGGUUCCAGUGCUGGAGCAACGAGCACAAGCAAGAGAUCCUGCGUAAGUAUCAAAUACACAGGUAAGUUGACAUACGAAACCAAUCCGAACAUCUCCAUCGUAUAUAUUUAAAGCUACAGUACAUAAAACUAAAAGUCAGAAAUAUAGGACAUUAUCACACCAGUUCCAAGACAAUAUUUGCAUCGUUUAUGCUCCUGCUGUUUCACAUUGUUUAUUUCAACUACCAUCAAUGCUGAGAUCACUCCGACUGCUCCUCCAGAGAAUGACGCCACUAUGGGAUCAACUUGACUGCAGUUUGAAAGUAAAGGAGAUCAAUAAACGAAACUGGUAACAACAUAGUAUCAACAUUAUUUAGCUUCGUUUCAAGAAAGAUGACAUCCUAGGUUUUUCUAAUGUGUAAAAAUUGAGGAUCCUCGUAAAAUUUGACUAUAUCGGUUCCCAAAGCAUUUGAUUCCUACGUUACAGACGGAAAACAGCAACAAUCGAAUUUAAAGAUUCAUAACACGAUAGAUGGUACAAAAUUUCAAAACGAUAAUUACUAGAGAACAGGAGGGUUAAUAGCCUGAGAUAUGAGCAAUACCUCAACUGCAACGGCAGAUGCAUAUUUACUAUAAAGUCUUUAUAUGAUGUGCCUCCUAUUCCCAGCUUCAACUCCAACUGAAAGAUGUAAAGGUAAUUGUAGGCAAAGAGUUACAAACAUAACCGAAUCCAUGUUUUAUAAGCAACAACUACACUUAUUUUGAUAUGUUUCCUCAUUUUUUACUUGCAAAUUCCAAACCAUAUUGUCGGACCAGUAAAAGAAAAUAAUGUUUAUGAUAACUGUUAAAACUAAUUACAACAAGUUAAUGCAUAAAGAACUUACGGAGGGUGCUAUGAGGCCACCGAAAAGGAUAAACCCCGCAAUAAUUGAAUAACAAACAGCAUAAUACUGCUUAAGGUUGUCUGAACUCUGCAAGCAAUGAAUUCACCUUGUGAUUAAUACUUUGCACAAACACUAGUUUUCGCAAUUUUUUAUGAAUCGACAAAAGGCUACAACAAAAUAUGGCUAAAACAUGUCGGGGAUAUGAAAAUACAUGUCUUCACAGGGGCACCAGCUUACCAGGGGAGGCAAAAAUGGAAUGAACGAUGGAAAACUAGGAAGUUCGUUUUCUUGAUCUUCAUUUACCGCUCCAAGCUCUGCACGUUUAAUCCGCUGUUGUAUCCUCAGCCUGCGAACCUACGCAUAUCGAAGCUCAUUCUUAAAGAACACAUUUCUAAUGGCAAUUGGAGAGUAAUUUAAAACAUGCUACACUGAGAAAGUGGUAGCAACUAGCAAUUGCUCUCACCUCCUCCAUAUGCAAGAAAAUUUUGUUGCGACGACUCCGAAUAUUAUCUUGAAUUUCCUGCAGCUCCAUUGUGGCAAAAUCCUGCACUGUUUCAGGCCCCUCUAUGAUACAAAAUCUGCACCAUUAAGCAUGUAAAAAUUAAAAAUUACAAGCUACAAAGCAAUUUCCGUAUAGUUGUUGGGUUAAAUAACAUCAACAGCAAAUAAAUCACAUAGGUUUUUCACAUAAAGUUACAAACUUUCAAGGACUAAUAAGCUGUCUGCAAUCUCAUAAAUUUCACAGUGCAAAGUAACAAUCCAAAGCUUGGAACUUUAAAUUUCCACCUUCUGUUAAUUUUUUAGUGCACCUGGUGUCGUUAGAUUCGAGUAGUAUGUCACAUUAAAUUUUUUUUUUCUGUGCAUGCAUUUUUUUUUAAAAGAAAAUUUAUAUUGUUAAAGAGCGAGUUCGAAACUAUUACAUUAUGGAAGGACAUAGUACCGAAACUCCGACGAUCAAAAACAAAAUCAUGUACAACCACUCCAAGCAGUCAACAUGGCCAUCACAUAUUGAAUCCAAAAUGUUGACGCCCCAUUCGCUGCAUAUAAUGUACAGACGAGCGGCAGCUUCAACCAGUUCUGCCAUAUCCGGCUGGAUGAGAGCAGCUAAAGACAUGAUUGUUCCCUAAUAACAUGAAUAAAUUGAGUAAACACCAAAAGUAGCAGCAAGGGAAGGAGAUGUGAAGUAUAUGAAGAGGUGUAAGACCUGUGAAUGUCCAGCAACAAAGAUUUUGGAGCUUGUUGUCGAAUAAUGCAACGCGUCAUUUCUGGUAGAUCAAAUAGAGCCAAUUCCCGCCAACUCCAAUUCCAAAAUUUCUACAGUAAAGCAUAAAUCUUAUUCUCUCUUCUGAUAAAGAUGAGUGUCCCAGACUCCAACGUGUUCCACACACAUUCCCUACCCAUACAUCGAAACCUUCAUCUGCAAGGACGAAUCCCAGCGAUUCUUCUGGAGAAUUUAAGAAUCAUGCAUCACCUGGUUAAGAUCAAGAAAAGCCAGUAACCAAGUUCAAUUGAGUUAAAAUGUAUCCCAUGGAUGUUCAUCACUUUGCCCAAUUGUUCUUUUCAAGAAAGGAAAUUUCAACAGAACCUGAAAACUUCAGAUCAGGGGGCACCAAAUAGUGAGCUAUACAUUCAAAAUUUGAAAUAAUCAACUUAGUAGGACCAGUAUGUUGAAAAAAUAGGAAGGAGCUAUGAAAGUAAGACUUUUCACUAAUCAGGCGUCCAGAGAAUCCAUAUUUUACCCGCGUAUCAGUUACGGGGAACACUCCCCACCAGAGCAAUCUCAUUAGUCCUUCACAUCUCAACCGUACAGAAGUUGCACUAACAAACAUGACUCCUAUUAGUCCUUCACAUCUCAAAUCCAGGAAGUACCCAUCUUUCGUCUGAAUCUGGAAAAUAAGCAGCAGUCAAUUUAACAAUCUCGGUAUCUCAAAGUUACUCACUUUAAUCACAAAUUUAGCAAUUAAACAUAUAAAUGGGCAUUUUUUUAGGGAAAUAUUAGUAUAGUACUCACUGUGUGCUCGGAGCAAGAGUACCCAGAAAGCUCAAUGAGCUGCGCACAGAGGACUGCAGUGGUGAACGACAGCGACCGCACAGAGGACUGCAGUGGUGAACGACAGUGACCAAUUCUGUAAAAUUUAGUCGAGUUUUGGGAAAUUUCUGCAGCGAUUUCGGAGGUCAAGAGGCUGAUAAGGAAAGCCGCGACCAAAGGGCACUGGUCUGGAAGAAAGGCUUUGGUCGCCGCUAUCGCAAUUCACGAAGGAAGAAGUGCCCCAAAACAAUUUCGGCCCUGGACAGGUGCACUGUUUGCACUGAGCCAGGGCCGGCCCUGAAUCGCGAUAACGUCCUUCUCCAAACAGUAUAUAUACAGAUGCUAGAAAAAUCUACCGGAACUAUUCAAUUCUAGCGUCUACAGCUUUAGCAUUAGUUGGUACAAGGGGCAUUCUUCCAAAGAGGGAGAUGAAAUCGUUGAGGCACCAAAUAGUGAGCUAUACAUUCAAAAUUUGAAAUAACCUCUUGGUAGGACCAAUAUGUUGAAAAAAUUGGAAGGAGCUAUGAAAGUAUGGCUUUUCACUAAUCAGGCGUCCACAGAAUCAAUAUUUUACUCACAGAUCAUUUACGGGGAACACUCCCCACCAUAACAAUCUUUUUAGUCCUUCACAUCUCAAACCAAGUAGAAAUUGCAGUAACAAACACGACUUCUAUUAGUCCUUCACAUCUCAAACCCAGUAAGUACCCAUCUUUCGUCUGAAUCUGGAAAACAAGCAGCAGUGGAUUCAACAAUCUGGGUAUCUCAAAGUCACUCACUUUAAUCACAAAAUUAACAAUUAAACAUAUAAAUGGGCAUUUAUUUAGUGAAAUAUUAGUAUAGUACUCACUGUGUGCUCGGAGCAAGAGUACCCAGAAAGCUCAAUGAGCUGCGCACAGAGGGACUGCAGCGGUGACGACGGCAACCGAUUCUGUAAAAUUCAGUCGAGUUUUGGGCGAUUUCUGCAGCGAUUUCGGAGGUCAAGAGGCUGAUAAGGAAAGCUGGGACGGAAGGGCACUGGUCUGGAAGAAAGGCUCAGGACACCGCUGUCCCGAUUCGUGAAGGAAGAAGUGCCCCCAAAACAAUUUCGGCUCUGGACAGGUGUACUGUUUGCACUGGACCAGGGUCGGCCCUGGCGAUAACGUCCCCCAAACAGCACAUAUACAGAUGCUAGAAAUAUAUAAAUGUAACCUGAAACUACUAGAACCAUUCAAUUCUAGCGUCUACAGCUUUAGCAUUAGUUGGUACAAGGGACAUUCUUCCAAAGAGGGAGAUGAACUCAUUGAGGCUCUUAUUUAUUCCUCCUCUUGAUGUGCCCUUUUAGGCUGCUAAUUCCACACGAUCCAAUCUCAUACAUCUUCCCUGCAAAAGCAUGUGUGCCUGACUUCAAGAUCAAAUUUUUCCAACAAAAGAAACUUAAAGAUCAAACUCGCUAGAGGAAUAAGUGGUGCACAAGGGUGUUAAAAUCUUGACAUAUGUAUAUUUUUGGCAGAUUUUAUGUGAGCAUGCAACUAAAACUGGCAUCACUAUCAAUGGUGCACAAAGAUUGGUGGAAAACUUUAACAGUUUGAGUUGUAACUUCUCCAUUGUAUUUGUUAAGGCAAGACGGAUGUCAUCUAUUCAUUUUUCUGUAAAACUUAAAAGGCUGCAUAGCAGCUCUUGUUCGUUGUAUUGAAUACCGUGGUUUUACUGAUGAAUGCAGAGUUUGCUGAUGAUUCAUACGACAAGCAAUUGAAAAUCCCAUCAUUAUGCCCCCCAUAUACCAGAAGAAAAAAAAGUCAUUUACACAAAUUCAGAGCGUUCAUCCACUGUAAUUUGCAGAUAUAGAAACGUUAAGAUAAAAGGAAAUGCAAAGUACCUUUCACCAAAUUGGAGGAGCACCGGUGGCAUUAGCAAGUUAGCAACGGGAAUUGACAUACCAAUAUCUUCACAGUUUCUGCACAAGCACAAAUCAAAAGAAUCCGGAGGUGGAGUUAUGUACCUCUCCUUGGAAAAUGCCACCUCUUGGGAUUUCAAAAUAUGCGGCCGUGGCUAGCCGUCUGACCACGCCAAUUCCACCAAAGCCGCCGCAACGCGGUGUAGUGUCCGAUUGAUUGCUUCAAAUCAGAGCUUCGUAUCCAUGUGUUUAUCAGCAGAGAGUACCCAAAACCCCUGAAAAUUAUUUCUUUAUUCAGAUAAUAAAAUAUCCCAAAUUUCGAAUUUUAAUUCCGAAUCAAAAAUAGGGUUUGAAUUUUGAUUACCUAUAAAUUGGGGGGUUGCGGUGGAAAGGGAGUCAGCCAAGACGGCGAUAUGCGUCCUCGAGAGGGCUAUGAAAAUACAAAUUACAGAGCGUGUUGGGACGAUGUACAAGGCUUUUGCAGUCUCUCAAAUAUAAAUACCGAAGCUCCGUAAGGCGUUCAAUCCAGGGGGAAAGCUCUUUAAUAGAUGUUCCAUCCAGGAAAAGACUUCUUAAUCCUUCCAUAUUUUCUUCAAUGCUUGGAAACAACUCAAAUUUUGUACAACCGGAAAGAGAGAGAGAGAAAAGGGACUUGAGCUGACAAAUGCUGCUUGGAAGACUCUUAAGUUCUUUGCAAUCUUUUAGAUUCAAAUGAUUCAAUCCCGUAAGAUUAUUAAUUGACGAGGGCAGUUCUUUAAUUUUUGACCCGGAUAAAUUAAGCUCUUCUAACUCCUCCAUACCUUCUGAAAUCUUUGGAAACAUCUCAAGACUAGAGCAGCCAGAAAGAUUAAAGGUUUUGAGAGAUUUCAUACGAAUGCUGCUUGGAAGACUCUUAAGUUCCGUGCAAUUAUGUAGAUUCAAAUGACACAACCUCGUAAGAUUAUUAAUUGACGAGGACAGUUCUUUAAUUUUUGAGCAGGGUAAAUCAAGCUUUUCUAACCCCUCAAUACCUUCUGAAAUCGAUGGAAACAUCUCAAGACUGAAGCAGCCAUAAAGAUUAAAGGUUUUCAGACAUUUCAUAUGAAUGCAGCUUGGAAGACUCUUAAGUUCCUUGCAAUCUUUUAGGUUGAAAUGACUCAACCCCGUGAGAUUAUUAAUUGACAGGGACAGUUCUUUAAUUUUUGACCCGGAUAAAUUAAGCUCUUCUAACUCCUCCAUACCUUCUGAAAUCUCUGGAAACAUCUCAAGACUGGUGCAGUCAGAAAGAUUAAAGGUUUUGAGAGAUCUCAUACGAAUUUUGCUAGGUAGAAUCUUAAGUUCCUUGCAAUCUUUUAGGUUGAAAUGACUCAACCCCGAGAGAUUAUUAAUUGACAGGGGCAGUUCUUUAAUUUUUGACCCAGAUAAAUUAAGCUCUUCUAACCCCUCCAUACCUUCUGAAAUCUCUGGAAACAUCUCAAGACUGGAGCAGUCACAAAGAUUAAAGGUUUUGAGAGAUCUCAUACAAAUUUUGCUAGGUAGAAUCUUAAGUUCCUUGCAAUCUUUUAGGUUGAAAUGACUCAACCCCGAGAGAUUAUUAAUUGACAGGGGCAAUUCUUUAAUUUUUGACCCGGAUAAAUUAAGCUCUUCUAACUCCUCCAUACCUUCUGAAAUCUCUGGAAACAUCUCAAGACUGGAGCAGUCAGAAAGAUUCAAGGUUUUGAGAGAUCUCAUACAAAUUUUGCUAGGUAGAAUCUUAAGUUCAUUGCACCCAUGCAGAUCCAAUAAAACAAGGUUUGUAAGAGUCGAAAUAGACGGGUGAACCUCAACUAAGCUUAUACAACUUCGAACAAUUAGCCUCUCAAGAUUUGGCACAUUUGUGAAGUCAGGGGUUUCCUUAAGGGAUUGACAAUAACUUAAAUUGAUGAAUUUCAACUUUUCCUGCGUCUGUUCAAACAUUCAGGAAAACAUGCAUUACUUAAUAAGACAUCUCACUCAAAGCCCAAACAUUUAAAAGAUACAAAUACAUGUAAAUGAUUGUACGUACCUGGGUUCCUUCCCAAAGUCGGUCAAUGAGACUACAUUGCAUGUCAAGUUCAACAAGAUUUUCGAAUUGAAAGUUGGAUGGCAAAGACUUGAGAGGGAAACCAAGCCAGGAGAGAUACCUCAGGUUAAGCAACUUUAAGGACCCAAACAGGUGUUGUUUGCAGUACUCAUCUUUAAAAACGAAGUGCCUAUAACUGAUCUCGAGAAGUCUUCGUUGAGCAUUUAAGUUCCCAUGAAGACCGAUCGUGAGAAGUCUUCGUUGAAUCCUUCUAACAACAGAUUCAGCAUUUAAGUGCCUAUGACUGAUCUUGAGAAGUCUUAGUUGAGUCAUUCUAACAAAAGCUUCAGCAUUUAAGCAUGGCCAGCCUGAGUACGAGAAAUCCACAAUUAUGCUUUCAACUGUUUUUGUAGCCUGUGCAAAUCAAAGUAAAGGAAAAUACAGAGAAAUUAGUUUUGAUUAUGAAAUUAAUGAUUGUUUCUUAAGGAGCCGUCUGAUAAUCAUUUCAUUUUCUAUUUAAUUGUUUUCAAUUUUCAUUAUUAAAACAAUGAAAACUAAAAAUAAAAAAUUGAAAACAAAAAUGGUUAUCAAAUGGGCCUAAGAAAUUGAUUUUGGUCAAAAGUUGAAGCUUUCUACUAAUAAUUGCAUAAGAAAAAGAUUUCUCACCGUAUUUUGAGAUAGCACGUGAUGAACAUCUUCAUAACUCCACAACCUACUUCGUCUCCCAGGCUCUUUGAUACAUUCUUGGCGGACGAUUUCCCGACCCAUUUCCGCUAAUGAAUCAUGCAUCUCCAGUUCCCCCUCCCCUGAGACAGUUAUGAGUGCUCGAUCGAUUAGAACUCUUAUUCCAGUAUAAGGAUGGAAACCACAAUCUUCCAGAAUUCGGGCUGCACAGUCUUUCUCCAUCCCUUUAAAGAAACAUGCAAUGUCUAGAAAGAUGUCCUUCUCCUUGUCAUCUAGUCCAUCGAAGCUUGAUUUAAGCACAUCAUGAAUUCCCCUUCGCGGGAUUUUCCUUAUUUUUUCUAACUCAUCUUCCCACUCGCGUAUAGUUUUGUUACCAAGAAAAGCUCCCAAGACUUUGAGUGCUAAAGGCAGGCCUUGAGCAUAUUCUACGACAUGAUUCGAGAGAUCAUCAUAAUCUCUGGUGGGUUGGUUUUUUCUGAAGGCGUGCCGCCUAAAGAGUUUCAGAGCUCCAGAAUCACUCAAAAUCUUGGGAUUAUAUAUCACAUCAGCUAUGCUUAGUAAUUGCGAAUCUCUAGUUGUUAUAAUAAUUCUGCUUCCACCACCAAAGGAAUGUGGCUCUUCAAGUAAAGCUUCAAUUUGUUCUAAUUCGUCCACAUCAUCAACAACAAUAAGAACUUUUCUCUGACCAAGGCUUUCUAACAUCACCUGAAAACCUUUACUCGAUAUGUCAGAACUCCCCACCUUGUUGUUCGAGAUACUCAAUAGAAGUUGUGCCUGCAUAUGUAGUUUGCCAUGCUUCAUGAAACCUUCCUUGAAAUUUUCAAGAAAGCAACAAGCUUCAAAUCGACUAGCGAUUUUAUCAUGAACAGCUCUAGCGAUGGUUGUUUUGCCUAAACCACCCAUACCCCAUAUUCCAACAAUGCGAACAGUAUUCGUUUCACCUCCGGGAGGAUAUAAUAAUAGAUGCAUUUCAUGCAUGUGAGAAUCCAUGUCAACCAAGCCAUUAUCUUUGCUUGAUGUUGAUGAGAUGUCGAUCAAUUUCCUAUAAACAUCUUCUACAAUUUCCUCAAUAAGCACCACAUCAUUCCUGUCAAAUUAAAAAAAAAACAAUAUAAUAACACCACCAAAUAAUAAUUAAUGGGUUUUUUCAUCUGUUAGUUUUAAAAAAAAAACAGAAAUUAAAACUAAAAACUAGAUAUUUAUCAAAUGACCCCUAAACGUGACAAAAAUCCCAAAAAUUAAUAGGAAACUAAAACAAAUUAGAAUUUACUCAUAGUUUCGCGAAUCCCAGCCGGAUAAACUGGUGGCAGUUGUAAGAGCGGAUCUCCAGCUCUGAACCUCUUCCAUUUCAGCGUUAGAAUCACGAUAGUGCUGAGCAAAAGCUUCCUCGAAUUUUCUCUUGAGUUUACGAACGUCAGACGGAUCAACUUCAUAGAAAAUGGGGAGUACAAUCCGGUUAUUGGUAUCCUUGCAUUCCAGGAUUUGCACGAGUUCUUUCAAGCACCAAGUGGAAGAAGCAUAGUUUUGAGAGAAAACUACAAUCGAAAGCCUUGACUCUCGAAUCGCUGUCAGGAGCUCGGAAAGGUGGUCGCCUUUUCUGAGCUUUUCGGCAUCAAUGAAGGCGUUGAUUGGUUUCUUAGCCAGAGCGUUGUAGAGAUGGCUGACGAAGCCCCUGCGAGUGUCUUCCCCUCUGAAAUUGAUGAACACAUCGUAUUUGCAACCAAGGCCAGAAGAAGAUGAAGAAGAAGAAGCAGCCAUUAUUAAUCGAUCGCACCUGGUCAGCGAUGAUCGAGCCGCUAAGACUAGAGAAUUGUAAGUACAGAAAUACUCAAUAGAUCUACAAAUUUGAUCACCGGAAAUUAGUCACUGAGUCAAUGCAAAAGGGAAUUUUCUUCAGGAAAUUUCGGUGUGAAAGGAAUCCGCAUACUUCGGAUUUUUCAACCCAAGAAAAUGCGAAGAAAGGGGACAAAGUAGUAAAUUUAAUCUACAGUUGCCUACCCAACACCCUCUUGAUUUAGAGGGUGUAUUCAAUUAGGAUUCUGAGAGGGUUUCAGGAAAUUAAUAAUUUCAGGAGUAUUCAAUUAGGAUUUUAAGUGAUUUUUUGAAAUUCUAGGUGUAUUCAAUUAGAAUUUCAAAAUAGUUUAUGAAAAUCCUUAGAAAUCCAGGUGUAUUCAAAGUUUAUAACAUUCCAUGUGUAUUCAAUUAGAAAUUGAUUUUAAAGAAUUUGAGAAAGUUAAAGAAUUAGAGGGAAUUGGAGAGAUUACGUAGUGUAUUUUAAGUAUCCACAAAUCUCACAUAUUCCCAUGAGAUUUCGAGGGAAUUGAAUCAAAAUUUUAUAUGGAAUCUCUACAAAUCAAUUAAACUCCAUAAAAAUCAAUGGAUUUAUAAAUCCAUUAAAAUCUCUCACAUUCUCAAUUGAAUAUAUAUUAAAAAGAUAAAGUUAGUCUCACAUGUAAUCUCUACGUACUAACAAUUAAAUGAGAGUUCCGUUUUAACUUAAUAUAUGUAACUUACAUGCUAAUAAUUAACGAAAUAUUAGCAAAAUUUUUAAUUUUAAGCAUAAAUUCUAAUUUAGAUAUCUUCUAACUAUCUUAUCACCUUAAAAAUUAUUAAUCAAAUUAAACUUAUUAUUUAUUUAUAAAUGCGUAACUAAAUCACAAAGUGUUGAAUGAAAGGGAGCACUCCAAAGGAUGAAAAAGCGGGAGCAUCGAAAGCUAUCUCCGUUUUUUGCUGUCUAUUUGUCUUCUUUUGGCAGAUAGCUCCUAGACUCCUAGGGGCCGGCCUAUUUUCCACAGCUGGUUAUAGGACUCAGUUGCUAUUGAAGAAGUGCUUUGUUGUAAUUCAAUAUCGAUGGAAAUUCAACAGAAUCUUUUUCAAAUUUUUGUGAGGAUUUUGGGGUGUAAGUGAAUUGUUUUUGUUCAUUGUAUAUUGUGCGGUCAUUUUUCAUCAAAUACUGUUUAUGUUUCAUUUUAAAUAAAAUAAUUUAAAAUAAUUUUUAGCUGCAAGUUGUACGAUGAACUGAUAUAAUUCAUAAAUCUUUAAAAUCCUUACAAAGAAAAUCUGAAAAAAAUCCGAAUUCAAUGGAAAUAAGCUGAUUUUGAAUCAAAUAACAUUACUUUACAACACUGCAGUUUUCAGCAUUGCACCGGAGAUCGUGCGGUCAUUCGUCCUUCUGUUCUCCGUAGUUUUGCCGACUUUGGUUCCACUUGCUGUCCAAUGCGCUAGGCGGCUUAUCAGGAUCAGGCUUAGAGAACCUGUAGUAAACUGCAUUAUGUGGUUCGUUUAUAGCUGUACAUCAUAAGUCUAUUUCCGGGAUCAUAUCAUCGUUGGCGCAUUCAUCAUAGAAGCUCCAGCUUCGUAUCCAAGUCAGUCGUUACUAUCUUACAUUUGCUAUAUAUUACAAAAUUUUGGGUGGGAAAACUUCUUAUAUGAUAAUGCGUGAAGAAUUCAGUUCGAAAACAGUAAAACAAAAUUAUUUGUACUAGUUCUUCUACUUGAUAUAUGAUGGUGUGUUUUUUGUUUUUUUGACCGAGGUUUAUAAUGGUGUUUGUUCUAUAAGUCGGCAUCUUUGCCAACCGCAAUCGAUACUGUCGUUCGAUACUGCAAAUGAAAACCCGGUGGGUGCGCAAAAUUUCGAGCCAAUCCUACAAUCUGACAGAUUGUAGGAAGAAAGGAACAAUGUUGUUGGCAGCACAAAAGUUCAUAAUCUUCUACUUGGAGUAAUCUGUUUAAGGCUUUAAUAUUCAUGCAGAAAGUUUUACAAAAUGAUCGCCUUUCGACAUAUAUCACAAUGGCGAUCUUUAAUCAUAAUGACUUGUACUGCUCGAUCAAACGAGACGCAUGGAGGCACGACGUAGGAGCCACGGUGCAGCCCAAACUUUGCAGAUAAGAAAUCUGGUAAUUCACAGCAUGACAAACAUAUUAUUGGGUCUCCUGACCAUCCUAGAUACCAAUGUGUGCACAAGGAAAGGAGUAAGGUAAUCAAAUGCUUGAGUCUUGUGUACCUGUUUCGGUGUUGGUUCGGAUGAACCCAUUGAGUUCUCGAUCCUUAACUUCUGGAAAUGCUCCUGAAAGCAUAAAUAUAUGUACGGAUUUAAACCAAUGACAAUGGACAUAAUUUACAGACAAUGAUUGAAGAAAAUACAGAUAUAAAUGCCUCAGUAUUCCAUUGACGAAAGUUCUAGAUUUGAUGAAUCAAACGUCCCACGUUGAGACUGCGUUAAGGCAAAUGGUUCUCAAACACAAAGCAAUAGUUUGCUACCGAAAACAACCAAAGUUUGACAAAGGAAACCGUCUUACACCUAACCUGUUUUUCCCUCAUCAAAUGAGCGCGUUGAUCUGCAGGUAUUUUCUGCCAUCUCAAAACCUGUUACAAAGAAAUAUAACAUUGAUGUCGAGCUGGAUAGCAUAUAUACCAAUUAUGUGUACAAACCUAUUGAAAUAAAGUAGCUGUAGUUGCAUAUUACGACAGAUAUUAACGAAAACAAAAGAAGGCUCGCCUAUUCAAGAUCCUAAAUCCCGUGAUUCUUUUGUUUUUAGUUUCAGAAAUUUUCAGAGCACAAACUGGAAAGUACCAAGAUACUUACAUAUUGGGCAUAAUGAAAUGCAUCUUCAUCUUUCAAGCAAGAUUUCAGUGAGCGCAAACCGUCCUGAGAGUUACAUAGAGUCAAUCAGUAAUAUAAAAACGUAGAUGCAUCACACCCAAACACAAGUAUUCAAACACCGACAACUUCUUCAUGCGGUGAGGCAUGUUAAAAAAUAGGGAAGAACAGUUAUUGAACAGGAAGUUAAAGGACUAAAUUUAUGACCUUGUGUUUGUAGUUCUUGGCUCGUGUGCGUUCAUCUAUUACAAAACCAAUCUGUAACAGGUACAACAGAAAAUAUAAGCAGUAGUCAGAACAUUAAGCAUCGGCAUUCACAUUGCCACCAAUCCAAAGUUAAAAGUCUAAAGGCAAAACAGUAUGAUUCUUAUCUCUCAAACAAAAAUGAAACUAUACCCCGGUCUCAGACAUAAAUGAAAUAAGUUCUACUGCCUCAACUGAGUACUGUGAUUAUAUAUAAAUCCAAUUCACCUUGUCAAGUAAUCUCUUAGGAUCUUGAAAUGCUUGCUUCUUAGCCCAGUCAUUAAAUACAUGCGAGAUAAUCGAUCUCUCAUCCACACUGAAUCUAUUGCACAGUGACAGAAGAAUAAAGUUAAACAUGAACAUAACCAACCAAAAAUGCUAGUUAUAAUAGUAUACCCAUAAUUGCAAGCAAAACCUUUUUAAGAAGCCAUUUCCAUGGUUUUCCUCCCCAAAUUCCAUCAAUUCUGCAGAGGCAACGUCAAAUUUACUAUGAUGGAGAUCAUUUUGCACCAUAACAACUUCAGAAGGUAGGAGAUUUGGUUUGAGAUCAUCUGUUGACGGAGUAGUUUCUUUUGAAGUGUCAUGAUGCUUUGAUUGCAAGCCUUCUGUACUUACGUCAGCCUACAAAACAAAAAUUGCAUUCAUCCACACUAGACUUAAUAAGAUUAGAAACACUUCAGAUUCUUCACUAUUUGUAAGUUUGACUAAACAGCAGAACAACUAAGGAUAAUGAACAGUAAUACACACCUGGACUUCUCGUAGAUGAUUUGGAAUUUCUUUCAGAAAUCGCGAAGGUUGAAGCAUCUGAAGGAGUCACCUUCUCAGUCAGAGCAACAAAAAAUAAGGAGGACAGGAAUUCAAGCUAAAACGAACCUGCCAACUGGAAUCCAUCGUAACAUAAAGAAUGAAAAGCUUUUUUCGAGCACGAGUCAUUGCAACAUAUAAUAGGCGUCUUAACACUUCAAAGCUCUGCAUAUAACUAAAAGGUCGUACCCAGUGCACAAGGCUCCCGCUUUACGCAGGGUCUGGGAGAGGUGAAUGUCAGCUAGCCUUACCCCCAUUUUAUGGAGAGGUUGCUCCCAAGUCUCGAACCCGAGACCUACCGCUCAUGGGCGAAGGCACUUGCCAUCACACCAAGUGCGACCUCUAAUUGUAUCAAAUACAUAUAUUCACAAAAAUUAUAUAUGACCGUUAGAUGUAUUAAAUACAUGCAAGUAUUGUAGCUAGAUGAUUAUUGAGUAAGGAAAUUCGAUCCUGACUUGCAAGACCUAGAGUAUACUAAUGACUUGUACCAGAUCAUGAGUCAACAAGCACGUAAGGUUAUUCAUAGUUUGACACUAGACGACAAUAAUGAAGACAUGAUCCAAUGAUUUUGCAAAAUAAAAAGUGCCUUAACAAAUGAUUUUGGUGUGCCACCGGAGAAAUCUAAAUCAUAUUCAUUGAAAGGCCAGUUAUUUCCUUCCAUUCUAAAAGAAAUACAGCAAUGAAUGUCAAACUAUAAAAUGUAUCUCCUAAAGUUGAGAGAAAGGACCCUUACCUACAUUACGGAAAAACACUAUCUUCCAAUGAAGUGGCAUAAAAAUUGCUGAAAUAUGUUAAUUUCUAAAGUACAAAUAAAACAACCUACCUUUUCAAAGUAGAAAUUUAUAAGUGCCUUUUCAAAGUAAAAACUUAAAAGUGCCUCUUCAAUGUUUUCAUUUUCAAAUAAAAGUGGUCCAAAAUGCUUGAAGACAACUAGGAAAAAGAAACAUAACUGAUUGAAGACCAUAUAGGAAAUCAAUGGAGCUUGAAUUUCUAGAUUAAUAAACAAAUUAACAGAGCUUCUGUACUACACAAGCCUUCCAAGGAUAAGAAGAAUAACAGAAGAAUAAUAAAAAUCACAUAUAGGUGCACAUGAACCUUCACACGUCCAGAAAAUUUGCAAAAGAAGUACAGCAAUAACAUAGAUGACAUAUGGCUUGGCGCACACACUCACACAGAGAAGCGUAAUAAGUAAUAAUAUUCCCAAAUAGCUGCACAUUCAAUUGCACACAUACAACAAGAACUACAACAAUAACGUAGACAUGACGCGCACGCGCACACACACACACACACACUCACGGAGCUAGUGAAUGCAACAAUAAUCAGCUGACCUGGUUCAAGACUGGAGCAGUGGUAGUGCAAUCGUCACAUUUUUGUUGACAUCAUGAACUUGGCUUUUUUCUCAGCUGGCUUAAGAAUCUGGAAAGAGCACAUUAAGUUUUCAUCUACACUCAUCAUCGCACCAGCAUUGUCAAACUCACCACAGUAGUUGGGAGCUGAAAAAAUUGUAACAAGUUGCCUGUCCGCAAAGAAUUCAUAACCAUCUUCCAUUGGCAUGUUUAAUCUGCAUAUAACUGAAAAAUGUUAAACAAUUUACCGCACAUCUCAAUGGAGGUCCCAUUUUCUUUUGCAACGCCAUUGAAUUCAUGGAACGGGAUCUCAGAUUCAUUUACCUGUGUUAUUGGCAUGAGCAUUAAAGCAAGCUAAGAUGAUUUGAAGAGGUUGAUAUCGUCAUGAAUAUACUAGAACAGAAUACCAAUUUCAAGCCAUCAAUUAGGUAUAGCAUUGGCAUGUUUAAUCCGUAAAUCUAAUGACAGAACACCUCAACUCUACACAUAAAUAAAUAAACAACCUGGAAAAUAUUACAGCCACUUGUUAAGGCAAAUACCUUAAUUAUGAAAACCAUAUCCCACUCUAAACCUUUUGACUGCAAGAGAAUGAAAAAGAAAGACAGUAAGCCAAGAAUGUUUGUAGAACUCCAAAGGAAGUCCAAUAGGGAAAUCAUCGCAAGUAUAAGAGUUAGCGAGGUUCGCAUAAGAGGAUAUCAAAAAGAUCUAGAACCUGAUGAAUAGUAGUCAAAGUGACAGAACUUUGGUUGUCAUGUCUUCGGGAGUGAAAAUUUUCACUCUCCCGCUCAGAUAUGUAGUCGAUGAAAGCUUUGAGUAAAUUAACGCAGCCUUUUUCUUCUGCUACGACUUCUCUCUCCCCUUUUCCCACAACAAAAUGAGUUGAUAAGAAAUCAGAUACGUCGUCUAGUAGGUACUGAAGAACCUGCAAUGAGAAUAAUCGCAUCACAACAACAGGGUUGGACCAAGAUUUAAGUGACAACAAUGAUUAACUAACUAAAAUAGAGAAAUUAUUCAUUUAAGACCUUGUUGACUGGAAAAAGGGUUUUCCAAGCAGCGGGUCAUUUAAGCUUUUUGUAUAAAUGACAAUCAUCACAAACGGCAAACUUACAGAUCUCAUGUCAUUGUCUUCAUUCAGCAGUUUUCCUCCAUCUACAUCAACGACUGCACGUUGCUCAAGACGGUACUUCUAAAAAUUGAAAGUCAAACGAUAAAUUAUUAAGAAGCAUUGAAUAUAAGCAUGAAACGAAGAAAAUGUUAUGGAAUGGUGAUCCUCAUCCUCAAAGAUGAUUAAAAGCAAUUUGAUUCAAAAAUGACAUAUCAACUCUGGAGAAAUGGAAGACAAACCUGUGGUACCAUAUUCGCAACUGAGGUUAUGACAGCUGAAAUCGAUUGUUCCUGUGUGCAUUGAUAAGUGAGACUACCAUAGAGAUUCACAACUAAAUAAAGAUAGGUAUUCCACAGAACAACCUUUACCUCUUUGGAAACACAGAUCUAACAAAAACUAUAACAUUUUGGAUUAAUAUUGACGAAUCAAGAAUAAUGCAAGGGAGCAAGAGAUACUCUUCCUUCUAAUAACAAGGAGGCAUGAAAAGUAUACAGAGUUCCAACAAUUAGAGAACUAAAAUCAAACUAAAAAAAUCACCAGAGUAGACAGAAUCUCACUUCGCCAAAAAUUUGAAAAUAUAUCCUUUUUAUCCAUUGAGAUUCAUGAACUACUCCUACUCAUCAUGCCAAUAAGCAAUGCGUAAGAGGUGCUACAAUUUACCGAAUAUAUUUACCCUGAGAACAAGUUUUGAAAUCAUCUCUAGUGUUAACAGCACCUUGCGUCCUUGGGUAAGCUGAGUCCUAUUAUCAAGUAAAGAGACCAAUCAGUACAUCCAAAAGAUCUUAAAUGCCUCUAAUACCAAUAAGAAAGAAACAUGAGUAUAUCUUGAAUUAACCAUGCAAAAAUGUAAUGUUAAAGCAUCUUGUCAUACAGACCUCUUCAAGGUACCAGAAAUUUUUGCACUAAAGAUGUCACAAGCAGCUGAUAUGAAGCUGCAUUUUCUGUGAGUUGAAAUUUUGUCAAUAUAAUCGAUCACCUGAAGAGAGAGAGAGAGAGAAAGACAGUGAUAUCCAGAGAUGUGAGCCUAGAUGCUGAGUGUGUAAAAAAAGAAGAUUAAAUGGAUAGCAAGAAUAUACAACUUUAAUGCUGAAAAGAACAUUGAAUAUGAUGCUCAUUCAAUUGCCAUUGAACGUGUACCUUCUUCUUUCCUCUUUCUCAAAAGCAAGUAGAGCCUUGAAGACUUGCCUAUAUGAUCCAUCAUCACAACCAGGCAAAGUUGUUUUAAUCAUAGCAACAAUGGCUCUAACUACCUGCCAUAAGAAACAUACUACAUCAACAAGAUCACAGUGUACCAGAAACCGUAAUGUACCAGAAACAUACUACAUCAACAAGAUGCAGUCUCCAGGAUCUUGUCGACAACAAAGGCACAUUGUGCAUCCUCAUUGUGACUUUCCUUGAUAAUUACCUACAUUUUGCCAGUAAACCGGUGUCACUAACUAAAAGGACUGAAAAAUGACAUCAAAUUGUACUUGUUGGAGCAAGGAAAGAUUAAGUACCUUAGACCCAGAAGAAUUGUCCGUGUCAACAUUCUUUAGUUGGCAUCGCUUCUUAUUGUUUUUUAUAACAGAAGAUGCAGCUUCCACAAUAUAGCGUGUGGACCGAAAGUUUUUAUUAAGCCUAAUCUGAACCAUAAAGUUAUGUCAAAUCCCACAGAACCCCAUAAAAUAAAACUUACUUUCCUGUAAUUGUACAAUAUAUUUGUUCUAUACUAUAUACAAUGUUUUAAAAGGUUCGCCUCGGGGCGCGCCUAGGUGCCCUGUGAGGCUGGGCUUGAGGGUUGCCGCCUCUGUUUUCAGGGAGUGGGAGGAAGGCGUCGCCGGAGCCGCCUAAGCGCCAGAAGGCGCCACUGGAGCCGCCUAGGUGAGCCUCAGGGGAUUUUUUUUUUUUUUUUUUUUUUUUUUUUUUACUCCCAAACCCAAAUUUUGGGUAGGGUUUUAACUAGCUCAUACUCUUCCUUGCACUAUCAUCUCUCUGCCUUCUUUUCUGAUUUUUAUUUUUUAUAUAAUGGAUGUGUGUGCCGUCUGCGUGCAUUGUUAUAUGUGUGCUCAUCGUGCUUUUCAUCCUCUAUUAUAUAUAUAUAUAUAUAAUAUAAUAUAUGUAUAUAUAUAUGUGUGUGUAUAUGUAUUUAUAAUAUAUGUGUGUGCUCAGGAUGAUUAUUGAUUAAUAAUCUUCUUUUUUUUAAUAUAAUAUAUGUGUAUGCUCAGUGUAUAUAUUAAAAAAUUUAGGUCCCGUGAGGCAUCGCCUCACUCCUCACGCCUAGGCUGGGCUAUCCCUCGGACGCCUCGCCCACGCCUCAUGCUUUUAAUACAUUGACUAUAUAUAAUGAAAAAAGACACUGUGAAUGACAUAAGAUAACAUAGCAGUCAAGUGCGAAGCGAACCUUUUUGUAAUUUGAAAAAUCUUUACGAAAAUAAUCAAAUCCAGAAAUGUCCGCCCCAUUGAAACUGAAAAUGGGCAGCAGGAUAUAUGUUAUUUGAUUUAGAACAGAUAAGGGCUGGAUUAGAAUGAGCUGAGAGAGAGAGAGAGGGAGAGAGGGAGAGAGGGAGCAAUAACAUUGGAUUUCCAUAAUAAAUCAACAACAUGCCUGAUCAUCAUCGCCAACAAUGGUUAUGUGGUUAUGAGAGGCGAGAAUCCGCAAAAGACUAUAUUGCAUAGCACUUGUGUCUUGAAACUCGUCUAUUACAAUAGCUUUCCAUGACUCCUGGCACUCCUUCAACACUAAUUAAGAGAACACCAUGUAUCAACAUUUAGCAUUACUUGUAAAACUAGAUAAAUCAAUGAAAUAUACUUAGAUGAUAGAGACCUUCAGGAAAAUCACUUAGCAGCUUCACAGAGCAGCUAAUUAAGUCGUGGUAGUCCAAAGCGUUGCACGAUUUCAAGAUAUCAUUGUAAUUCCUAAGAAUUUCACCCUGAUUCAGAUUGAGAGCUAAAACUCAUAAGCAAUAGUUUCAAAGAACUGAAAUGAUAUCUGAAAUUCUAGUUCUGAGCGUACUCCUGUCACAUCACCCAUUCUUCGGCAUUCAGCGGGAGUCUUUCCAGAAGCUUUUGCCUGAAACAUAAAUAAAUUUAUUGCCUAAUGCCACAUAUUGUAAGACACACCAUUGUAUUGGUCAUUCUAGCUUGAUUGUAGCUAAUAUUUUUUAAAUCGAAUGAUUAGAGUUCUUAAUCCACAAUAAUCUGAACAUUAAAUUUGGUAUUCAUGACUAACCUGUGUCACAAACUUCAGCCAUUUCUUUGAUGCAUCCUUAAAAUGAUGUGGAGAUGUUACGCCGUUAGACUCUUCCCCAUCUAUAGCAACAUUAAGAUUCGUUUUACUCUUUUCAUCUUCUGAUAACCGCACAGCUUCAAUGAUUGCUCUUCUCUGUUGCCCAUGUCCAUAUAUCAAAAAUUCUGGUCUGCGCUCGAGUCUAAAACACAAGCCAACAUAACAGACUCAGCUAUACCACCAAAUGUAUGGUGUUCAAAAUCAAGGGAGGUGAAUCAAUAGCUUACUUCUCAGCAUGUGAUCGGCAAAGUUGCAAUGAAAAUGAAUGAAAUGUACUGAUUGUUAGUAGUUUUGCCGUUGCUUUCCCAGUCACAGAUCCAAUUCGAUCUCUCAUCUCGGAAGCUGCUGCUGUAGUGAAAGUCAUUGCUAGAAUGUUCGACGUGCUAAUGCCCUAAGAACACAAAAAAAAAAAAAAAAAAACGUAUAAGAUUUCGAUCAUAAACAAGAAAUGUAGAGAAACACACAAUUACGAAAGAAAAAGUUAGAGGGAAAGUAGCAACACCUCAUUGAGCAGCAUUAGAACGCGCCCAACUAUCGUUGAAGUCUUUUCCACUUCCAGGGCCGGCAAACAAUCAUCAAAGGUACUGAAAUAUCGCUGCAAGCUGCCUCGCGCUGCCUUUCGUUGAGAGAAAGCAAAUACUUCAAAUACUCAUCCGGCAUGUUAGGCCAUCCAUGGUUAACAGAAUCUGUUUGGUUUUCACUACUCAAAGGCGGCGCUGAUGCGGCACUAACGUCACUACCACAACUCCCAAUAUCAUCACGCUGAAUGUCCACACUCGGUUUCUGCUCGAUUAAAGCGUCAAUUUCCUGCAAAAUACUCUCAUCGAAAUCA
This 47792-nucleotide long non-coding RNA is filed under the name Malus domestica (apple). Its description in RNAcentral is "long non-coding RNA (MDOM_LNC007120)". Lineage: Eukaryota; Viridiplantae; Streptophyta; Magnoliopsida; Rosales; Rosaceae. The record is from RNAcentral.